UAUGGGAGUGGGAUGGAUAAAGGGCCGAUUAGUUAGAUAUAAUUAUAAAUAUUGUAUAAUUAGAUAUGCAUGGAGUUAAAAAUACAAUAGUUAUAACUAUAUGAAUCCUGUUUGACUGAAUAUAGUAGAAAGCGCUACAAAUAUAAAUAAUUUAUUUGGUUGCAUAUAGUUGAAAAUUAAUUUUUAAAAUUUUAUCAUUUUAUAUAUAUGACGGUGAGAAUACCUUCAAAGUAAAAAAAAAAAAAAAAAUUUAUUUAAAAAAUAUUGAGGGGGUAAGCAUUCUUUUUAUAUAAGGUUACUUUCUCCAACUGCUGCAGUUGGAACUGCGGUCAAUUUGAGCAUAGUUCGAACUGCUGCAUUUGGGCCUCCUCCUGCAUUCCUACUAUAGCAGUUGGAGUUAAAUACAUCAAACCAAAUACGAAAUUUAUAUUUACAUGUAGUUACAACUAUAGUGCAGUUACAACUACAUACAACCAAACAGUCCCUUAAUGAUGUUAUAGUCAUGUGCAUUCAUUUUACCAAUCAAUGUUGUUACUUGGAUGCCCCACAAAAGUUCUUUUCUAAAUUAUUUAUCUAACAAUAAUAUACAUUUAUUUAUCAUAUUAUAUGCAUUAAUAUAUUAGUAAUUUAUAAAAAAAAUGUUUUUACUAUUUACAGCAAUACUCGAAAAAAAAGAAAACUAAAAGAGUAGUAAUUAUAUACCUCCUAAAUAUAGCUCUUACAUAUUAUUAAAUAUGUAUAAUAAUAUUUGUAUACAAUUUAGGACACUAGAGUAUUAACGAUAUAUCAGUCGACUAAGAAUUUAAUGACUCAUAUCAAAAUUUUAAUUUGAAACAGAUAAAAUCUUAUCUUUUUUCAGCAAACUAAUAAGAUAUCUAAAAUAUUUUCGAUGGACGCAGCAUAUACACAUAGCCUAACAUGUGGGCGUUACCUAAACCCGACAAAAGUGGAUUGGUCGCGGCGGGAUCGUCACGUGGUUUCAUACCGUUGCUUUCGUUGCAUCUGAUAAUAAUUAAUAAUAAUAACCACGUUCCUGAUUCCUUAAUUUCUAGUCAAACUCCAUUUGAACACCUCGGAACACUUCUUGUUAGUCCAUACAAAAAUUAUCCUUAUAGUAUAGUUUUUGCUCCUAUUACACCCAACUUAACAAGGCAUGCAUGAAUCAGUAAUUAAUUAUAACCCUUAUAACUGUUGCUUUUUGAAAGAGCUUGUUAUCAGCGGGAACGGAUACGACGUCGAACACCAUCGAGUGGGCCAUGUCGCUCCUCCUCAACAAUCCUGAAGUCCUGAGAAAAGCGGCGACGGAGAUCGACGUUCGUGUGGGCACCGAUCGCUUAGUGGAGGAGUCGGACAUCGCGAACCUCCCCUAUCUCCGCUGCGUCUUCACCGAGACUCUCCGCCUCUACCCCGGAGGGCCCCUCCUCGUCCCCCACGAAUCUGCGACGGAGCUAACCAUCGCAAACUACACCGUGCCGCAAGGCACCAUGCUACUGGUCAAUGCCUACGCCAUCCACAGAGACCCCGCUGUAUGGCGCGAGCCUACGAAGUUUAAGCCGGAGAGGUUUGAAGCUGGGAGAGAAGAGAAGGGGUGGAUGAUUCCGUUCGGGAUGGGGCGGCGACGGUGCCCCGGGGAGGGCCUCGCCACGCGGGAGGCGUCGCUGUUGCUCGCGACGAUGAUACAGUGUUUCGAGUGGAAGAGAGUUGGGGAGGAGGAGGUGGACAUGACUGAAGGAAUGGGGCUGACUCUGCCCAAGGCAUUGCCUCUGGAAGCACUGGUUCGGCCGCGCCCGAACAUGAUCGAUUUACUUUCCAAGCUCUAAAUGCAUAUCAUGAGUUGCAUUUCACAAACGCAGGAAUAAAAGAAACUAUAUAUGAAAGCUAGUACAGCAGCACCAGACCACUGGCUUGUAUGCGUACGUUAAGGGGUGAUGAACUACUAUAGUACAUCUCUGGUAAUAGUAUGAUCGUUUAUGUAGUUUCCUAUGUAAACCUUUCAAAGUAUCUGCCUUUAUUCAAGUUCGUUUUUCCUUUGUUUGACGCCUCUUCGACUUUUUAUUUGCUUUGUCUUAAACAACUUCGUCACAACCUUGCUUCAAGAGGGAUUAGAUUAAUAUGACAAACAAAAAUCUUUUCAAACAUCAGUACCAUAUAAUCACAUUAAUUUGCCAGACGACAAUCUGCGGAGAAUCCGUUAAACAACAGCAUAACUUUUCAAUGAGAAAUGUAGGAAGCCUAUCAUUAAAUCUGAAAGCCUACAGCAUCAUAACAUCUCACUAUAUUUUGAAAUCCAUAACACAUACAGUGUUGUUAGAGAAACAUGCAGCAAUCUUAUCGCCUUCUUUGUUCCAGCACACUUCGAAGAUGCCGCCGCCGCCUCUGUAGGUCUUCAAUAUCCUCCCUUCUUUUACUGACCAUAUGUGCAGGCACUGAUCUAACGAUCCGCUUGCCAAGUACUCACCGUUGGGGCUAAACGCGACAGAAUAUACAGGUUGCCUGUAGUUGUAUUGUGCAACAGAGAAGUUACCGUAAGAAAUACAUGGGAGCACUACUAUGUACCUAUGCCUAGGGUCAAUUACAAAUUCAGCCACUGAUGUUUGAUCAUGACUCCAUGGUAGUUCCAUUUCUAACAAUUUGGUCCCUAAAGUUUAUCCCGUGCAAUGAUAAAGUUCUUUAAAUUAGUCUACCAUUGAGCAAACCGUAACUAUCGUGCUGGCAUGGCAUCUUUCUUCUGGCAGUAGAAUAAUAAAAGGACUAGAGUGUUUCACAGGACAAUUUGCAAUGACUAAAUCAUCAAAAUCGAUAUUCUAAGGACCGGAGUCACAAUUACCUGUGGCCGUUCAAGCUGUACAAAAGGCGCCCUUGAUCUACAUCCCAUAGCUUGAUAGUUGAGUCAAAGGAUGCACUAAACAUAAGUCAACAUCAUUAAUCAAUUAAAGCCGUGACAACAGAAUGCUCAGAAACUACUAACAUGAGAAAUACAUGUGUACAGAAAGUAGGAAAAUUCUUGCCUUGCCAACACUAGUUGGUGAUUAGGGUUGUUUGUUCCCUGGCCUGUGGGGCUCCAUUUGAUUGUAUAUAUUUCCUGGAAAAGAAAGUUGUUGAUCUAUUAGCAAGAUGGAUGCCUAUAAAGAGUAGGUGCUACUCAGAAAAGGAUUAGAACCUUGCUGUGAUCCUUGAAAUCAUACAAAAACUUGUCCUGCUUCGGACUCCAUAUCUGCCAAAAUUUAAUUAAGUUAUCAGAUCUGAUAUUGAAGUACAUAAUUAUACGAAAGAAAGUCAAGCCUAGAAUGAAAAGAGCCAGCUAUUAAGCAAUCUAAGGUGUACACUUCAUAUUACUAGCAACAAAGAAACAAUUAUCCCACAGACUGCUAUAAUGGGGUCAAUUUUUUAGAAGAUAUCUCAAAACCAGGAUCGAAUAAGCUAAAUAGGUCACACUAUAGUUAAUAGAUAGGUGCACUAACCCACCGAACAAACGAAGGGAUUUAUCAAACAAUCUCAAGAUGUAUGCUUACAAGCAAUAAAUGAUGAAAAGAAUCCAACAGAUUGCUAACAAUUUUUAGAAGAUAUCCCACAGCCGGGGUUCGAAAGGUCAAUAAGUUGACCUAAACUCCACUGCAUGCACCAAUCCGGAAAAAGUUCAGCUCAAUUAUUAAGGUGAAAAAAAAUAGUAAUGAAAAUUGCUAAUGCCAAUUAAGUAGAACUAUUUCUCAUAAACUUCUCCGUGCAGACAUGAUUAUGUACCUUUGCAGUCCCAUCAUCAGCGCAUGAAGCCAGCAAAGAACCAGUUGGAUCCCAUUUGAUAGCAUUAACUUCACCCUGAAAAAAAAUAUGAUGUGGAAAAAAGUUAACCUCAUAUGCAUAUUCGAUGAUGCUACACCAGUAAUUAACCAGCAGCUAUUUUUCAUCCUUCAUCUAUCAUGCACUAACACGCCAUGCUUUUUUAUAUCAUUUUAACUUGGAAUGACAUCAUAUCUAUUUGGUUCUCAGUGUGUGUAUGUAUGAGAGAGAGAGGGGUAGGAAUUUCAUCUUGUAAAAAAAAAGAAAAAGAAAAAAGAAAUCUAAUGACCAACCUAUUAACUACAGAUUGUGGAACUUCAUCCACAAGUAUACGAAGAAUCAUGUGUGGAAGUUUCAAUAAAUGCUUUGCAUGUCUUACUUCCAACAUGCGCUUCAACAUGAAAAGGAAAAAAUAGAGCAUCCCUUAGUUCAUUACAAAAUUUAUAUAGGUAAGACUACAAGGUUUGGUUCUUGUGUUGUAGAUUGAAAUGUAUUAAUGCGAGUGUCACAUUGAGACUAAACUUUUAAGGGAGCAACAUAGUUAUAGAGAUUCGUACAUCGUUUACCCAUUAGGCGGAGCAAUUCGAGACCAUUGGACGCCAAUAAUUGUUCAAAGAAUCAAAAUAUGACUAUCUCAGUUAAAUAGGAAAAGAAAACCUGAUGCCCAGAGAAUGCCUUGACUGGGCGAGACUCUCCAAUCUUGCAAACAUAGAUCAUGUUAUCAGUUGAGCAUGUUGCAAAAGAAUUAUUGUUUCUCCAAUCAACGUCAAGUGUUGGAGCUGGAAAAGUAAAAGGAUAAACGAAAUACUAGGUAAGACUUUGAAGCCUACAAGCAUAGUUAAGUAUAAUCUUAAUUUAUAGGUAAACGUAAUUCUAAGUAAAUCAACAAUAUCAGCACCUGAAUGAAACUCAAAUUGUUGUUUACACUCCCAUGUCUUCGUGUCCCACACAAUAGCAGUUUUGUCAACACUUCCACUAAGGAGGAAAUCACCCUUUUUGUUCCAUUUCAAAGAAAAUAUUGGUCCCUUAUGCUUGAUCAAAGUAUUCUUCAACUCCCCUGCUCAUGUUAUUGAACCAACACAAAGGAAAUACCAGUAGUAAUUACAAUGAAAGAUAUGCAAAAACCCAAAAUGAAAAUAAGUUACAUAAGUUAAUUGUGAAUUGAAAAAUAAUAGGCUGCAAGGAUUGGAGACAGAGUGAAUGGGGGAAAGUACAAAUCGUUGGAGCUAAAGAAGCUUUUCUGUCCAUUAGGCUAUUAUUGUCUCUUUAUCACUAAGUAACUGAGCGAUUGUCCUCCAGCUCCUGCUGAGUAUAGGGCUUCGGCUCUAUUAAUAACUCAUUAAUGUCAUAGAAUAUAUGCUUAUAAUCUCGUUCACAUUCAUUAAAACAGCUCAGAACCAUAAAAUAAGGACUAACCUAUUUUGUUUAGAAGAGAUGUUCGGGUCAUAUGACAAUAUAAAGUGACGAACCAUAAAGCAAUUUCUUCAACGGAAAAAUCAAAGCCUUACCAUCCUUACUCCAUAUUCUUGCAUGUCCAUCAUAUGAACCUGUAGCUAGUAAAGUACCUUCUCCCUGUAAUAGUUCCACAUAGGAAAAGAAUAUGAGAAAAAGGUUCCAAAUAGUACAAUGAGAGGAGAAAGAGAAACCAAUUGCAGAAUACAAAUUUGUGAAUAAGAAAGAUAAUAUAGAAGCAGAUUUGUUAUUUCAAGAGAAAAGGAAAUCACUGAGAGAGAGAGAGAGAGAGAGAGAGAGAGAGAGAGAGAGAGAGAGACUACAUUCCAAUCAAGUGUGGUGACAUCCUUGCUCUUCUCAUUAGUUCGCCCUUUAAAAUGUUUCAGAACAUGAGCAGUUGGGGGAAAUGCUUGCACACUAGAACCACAAGGACCAUCUGGAAUCGUCCAAAUUCUUGCCGUUGAAUCCCCAGACCUGCCCAAUCACAAAAUGACUCAAAUUGUUUCUUGUAACUGGAGCGAAUAUCUAAAACAUAUGCACAUGGAAGCAAAUUAGCAUUUCAAGUUGCAAAAUUUGUGCUUGAAGAUUCUGAGAGGACAGCUACAACAAGCUUAAUUGAAGCUCUUGGAGCUUGAUGUCUGAACUUGAAUAUGUCAACCAGUGGGGACAUUACUCUAUGUUCAUAAUAGUUUGCAAAUUAGAAUGAAAAGAGUAGGUAAAAAGAGGUCUAUUAGUGGAGCUUGCAAUAGAAGAAACUAAGUGCAACAUAUGAAACUUAGCAUGCGAUGCAAAAUGAACAAAGUAAAAAUGGAUAACAAGUUAACAACAUAAAUGACAAACCUAGUAUUAUAAGUAUGCUUUAGUCUAAUACCCACCCAGAUGCUAGAAGAGAACCUGCUGGGCUCCAAGCACACGCAAAUACCUAAAUGCAUAAAAAAUGGAAAUAUAUGAAAGCAGGAACAGUUAGAAUCUCAUAAUCAACAGGCAGUAUAUGACAUAAAGAAAUGUAAAAAAGUAUCAGACCUCAGAACAGUGGCCUUCCAAUAUAGUUACGUCAGAACUAGAUAUCUCACUAGUGACUGGGUGAGAGCUUGGGGCGGCAUCAGUUGGUUCAGGCCCUAUUAGACAAUCAAGGUGAAUGAGUGAAAUAUGUCCACCAGAUGACAGCGAUGAAACUAAAGAAAUUAGUACAUAACUAAUUAGCAAAGGUGAGACCGGGGCUAUGUGGCGAGGAUGUGCGCUUAGUUAGGUAAAGAUCACCUGGAGUAAGUCGAUUAGACUACAUCCAAGAAAACAGUAUAAAUUCAUUUACAUGCAACAUGUUGCACCACAUGCUUAGACAGUUAGAUGUUAACCCCUCUAGGUGUGCAGCAUGUGUUAACACAUGACCCUGGCUUAGCUUUCAGACCGAGGGCAUGACAAAGGAGCAUUUCGAGAUAUCGAACUAACGAGAUAUCACUCUCAACAAGGUCCAAUAUACGGAGAGCCUAACCAACAGAACUUCUCAAAUUAGCAUAUAACAUGGUACUUUAAUGACGUCAUCCAUAUGAAGGGAACUAAUUAACUACAUGUAAGUCCAACAAAAUAGAAAAACACAAUCUAUCAGGUAUAAUGAAAGCAUUGCAAAUAGUACAGGUACAGCAGCAGUAUACAGCAUGCGUAACAUUCACGCAUGUUCGACAUGUUUGAUCUCUAGAGAUUCAGCAAAAUAUACUGGAUCUUCCUUAAUGCUCCAAUGUCUGAAGGAAUUAAACAAUUAUAAAUCAACUAAAUAUAAUGAGUAUUCAGUACAUCACAAACUUUGAUCAAUUUGAAAGAAAAUGCAGAUAUAAAUAUGAGUAUAUUACAUAAAUGCUAUUAGAGGAUGGAACAGUAACGAGUAACAUUGUAAAAGAUUUGCUUGUGUUUUGAACUUUGACGAUUCCAGGCUUCCAUCAUAAGAAUGCUUGUAUUCUUACAGAAAAACAGAAAAAGGAAUAUGUUGUUUAUCUAAUAUAGGUAGCCUACAGGCAACAAAAAAGAGGAAAUAAGUUUUAAGUUUCUUGCAGGUCUCUUUACCUCCAGCUCCAUUUUCAUCAAGUCUGGCCUUAUCUUUGCGCUCACCAUGCUGCUUAUCCUUUUCUCUGUCCUUUUCUUGCUCUUUAUCCUUUUCCAUCUUUUCUUUAUCCCUCUCUUGAUCUCUAUCAUGUCUUUCCUUCUCCUUUUCACCUCCAAGAGUCCGUUCUCUAUCUUUUUCCUUGUCCUUAUCUUGCUCAUGCUGAUAUUUCUUCCUUUUCCUCUCCCUUAUAAUUUCUUGUAGCUCGUUCACAUCUUUUGUAAUAAGAUCCAGAGGUUGUAAGAGAGAAAAUUCCUCAUCGACAUCUAUAUCGCUCUGCCAAAACAAGAAGCAUAACGAAGGGGGAAAAAUGUUAUCUAACAAUAGACCAAGAAAACGAAUAAAUUAGAUGACAAGACUAUGACACAAAAAACUUACAUUGCUAACGUUAGCCUCUAACUCUAUAUAUUGAAGACCUUUUUGUACAAUGGUAAUAAGAGCACCAGGUGGAAUUAUAUUUCCAUCAAUAUUAGAUCUGUGAAUCCCUGCUUCAUAUCCUAAACAAAAUGCUGAGUGAGCAAAUCCUGCAAAUUUCACAUAACAAGCGUUAGCAUCACAGAUCCAACUAACUUUUCACUGUAUAAUUUGCUCUCAUUUUUUCUUGCUAACAAGACGAAAGGCCAAAGUAAAAGUAAUAGAACUACGUCGAGCAUUAAAUAGUUUAAAACAAGAGAGAACCAUCUGGGAAACUAAUUGAAAACAAUGACUAUUGACUAGCAACUUUAUGUUAUAGAAAGAGAGAAAAAAAAAAAGGUAUAAGGACCCCCUCAACUAUAGCUUAUUUUUAGAUAGACCCCUCACCUCUUUCUCUUAUGAUGCCUCCUAUGGCGUUUCUCUUAUGUUUGGCCAGUGCAAACAAAUUUUUCAGUUGCUGGAAUGGAACUAACAUUAUGGCAUUUUUGUUAUCUACUAAUAGUUGAUAGCUAAUGGAGCUAAUUGAAUUUGUAAAAGUAACUCAAAUCAAAGCAAGUCAAAGUUGAGAAGUCUCCAAGUUGCCCCAAAAAAUUCAAAUUUUCAAGCAAAGCAUCAAAUCUUGUUAUUUCAAAUAAAAAUACUCGAGCUACAGUGAUCAGAAACAUAAAAAACAACACAACAAACUCUUCUAAGCACAGUAAACAAAGGUUAAGAGCAGCUACAAAAGCAGUUCACUAACAAUCGAUCCAACUUCAAAAGUCGCUCUACAGCGUUAAACGAUCUAAAAUGUUUGCAGCUACCACGAAUUCAUGUGCCUAAAUUACAAAAAAUUAGGUCAAAAAAACCCUGGCAGAACCCAACGCGACGGAACAAAAAAUUAUACAGGUAACAAUUCUGAAGAACAACGCGAAUAAUCAGAAAAAAAAAAUCAAAUUUAACGACGGAACUUGGAGAUCGAGAUCGAGAUCGAGAGAGAGAGAGAAGAACCUGAUUCGUGGAGGUAUCGAAAGACGAGGUAAUUGAGCUCUACAGAGGUGAUUGUGGACUUCGACAUCGAAACCCUAGUGAUAGCACGAACAUAUAGAGAGAGAGAGAGAGAGAGAGAGAGAGAGAGAGGUUCCUCCCGGGGAAGAGGAUGAGAGAGAGAGGAGGCGCUUCUCUCUCUCCGGGAAUUGCUUCUUCGGGAGCAAACGGUUUGGGAGAACGAAGAGGAAAGCCCAGAAAAAUAAUAAAAUUAAAAACCUAUUACUUAUGAAAUGUAAAAUGGGCCGGGUCGAACCAUUAAUGGCCAUAUAAUUUUGAACCUAAAUGGGCCAAAGAGGCUCGGCCUAGUACCAAAUACAAAACGGCCUACUUUUUUUAAAAAUAUAUAUAUAUAUAUAUAUAUAUAUUGUUAUUACUUCUGUAUAAUGUUUAUUUAUUAAUGAAAAAAUAAAUUCUAGUUAAUGCUUCGAAACGUGUCAAACAUUUUUAAAAAAUUGAUUAUAUCUGAGAGAAAAAAAAUUAAAAUAUUUGUACCGCGUGGUUAGAUGCCGCUCAUUUUAUCAGAUGCUUUUAAUCUUUUUGUUAAAAUCAUAAAAUAUUUGUUAUAUAAAAACAAAUAAUUUAAAACUAUGGGUUUACUUUCUUAAUAGCCUAUAGAUGAGGAGCCUGUGUGCAUUUUCUCCUUCCUAUUAAAAAUAAUAAUAAUAAUAAAUAAUAAAUAAAAAAGAAAAAGUUCGAUCUCGUGCAACGUGUUCUGAGCAACAACAGCGUCGCCCUCUUCGCUCUUCGCGAAAUUUAUGAUUAAGCGCCAUAGGCGACCUCUCUCUCCGGGACCCUCUCUCUCUCUCUCUCUCUUUCUCUCUCUCUUCUCACUCUACAAUGAAGAGAGGUUCUCGAACGAUCCAAUAGAGAAAGGUAUAUACGUUUCCCCAAUUUUUUUAUUAGUUGUUCUCUCUCUCCAAUGCUCAAAUUCAUAGAUUUUGAUUAGGGUUUGCAUUGAAUCGAAGCAUUCGAAGCCUCCUUGUUGCGAUUUCGUUUCUUAGGUUAAAAGUAUUUUGAAUUGGGUGUAUAAUUGCGGAAUUAUUCUUUAUUUUAGUGCUUCUCGUGUACCUUUGCCUUUUCAUGAUCACAAUCUUUACAAUUGAUUUAUGAAGUACAGUGUUGUUGUGAUAGGGAGAUAGGGUUUUUUGCUUUUUUUCACGAUUUUCUCUGUAAAUUCAUCUUUAGAGUUAUUUGUUUUGUUUAUUGAACUUAGUAGUGGUUUUGCAUCAAGUACAUCGUCGUAGAUUCCGCCGAAGUACCUUCUCAUCAUAGAAAGUUUUUAUUUCGGAAUUGCUCUUUCCAAUUUUCCUGUAAUAUUGGGCAAAUUUUAGUAUUUUAAGAUAUUGAGGAAUCGAUUUGUUGUACAUAUAUGCACUCAAAAUGCACUUUCUGAUUCUAUUCUCGCUGUUGAGUAUUUAUUAGAUUUAAGGCAAAAGUUUUACUUUGUACGCGAGCUUGGCGAACGCGGUAAUCUAUGCUCGUGAAUUAGUUGUGUCUUACUGGAAAAGGCUGACUUACCAUAACCAAGGAUGCUGGCAUUAUAGGCAUAAGAUAUCUUUAUUGAAAUUAUUUUAAAUUUGUGUUCAUUAAUAGUUUUGUCAAACACAAUUCCUUGCUAUGUCGCGAGGAAACUAAAUGUUUAAGUUUUUGGUCUACUUGAAGUGAUAGCUUGGAACACUACACUUGAGUAUUGGUUGGUGCUAGUAAGAGUUUUCGGUAUAAAAGGCCGUAUACUUUUGCUUUCAGUUGAUUUUAGUUACUUAUUUAAGCUGCUACUGAGCUGGUUUAGGAAUGUAUUGGCGGUCCACUUUUGGUCUCUGACAUGGCGCGAUCGGGUCGAUAUAUGUUUAAACCUUUUUUUGGCAUUUUCUACAGGGUUUUUUCUUUUGCUUACAUAAACUUAUAAUUUUUCCUUUCUUCUUUCCAGGAUGUCGGAGCUUUCCGCAGCAGUGAAAGGAGAAUCCUGGCAUUCCGACCAUCAAAGAAUUGCAUUAUCUCCAUCCAACUUAUCUUCUGGCAAUCCUGUAAAUAUGGAAGUUGGAGAUGACGAUGAAGAGGAGGAUUUGGAUUUCAAUCCUUUUUUGAGGGAAGAAACUCCUUCAGAUGCCUCAUCAAGUCUGACUUCAGAAAAUGAAGGUGCAUCUGCUAGUGUUGAUAAAAUUAUGAGCUCUUCAGAUCAACAAGAUGUUAAUACAGCGUCUAGGCCAAUUGAUGAGACUCAACAUUGUAGUUUAAUUAUUGGAAAAGAGGAUGAGAAUACCCUGAUGCAUAAUAGGCUUGCAACAGACGAUGACUGUGGGAAAGAACCUGUUCAAGAAAACCAAGGGACAAAUUGUACACAGCAGGAGGAAAACUUAACUGUUUGUGGGAAAUCCCAGAAUCCAACGAUCAGCAUAGAUGAUGAGGAUGCCAUCUUUAAGCGCACACGGGCUCGCGUUUCUCUGGCAAAUUAUACACUCGAAGAAUUAGAGACCUUUCUCCAGGAAUCUGAUGAUGAUGGGGACCUACAAAAUAUUGAUGAAGAAGAGGAAUAUCGUAAGUUUCUUGCAGCUGUUCUACUGGAUGGAGGAGAUGACAAACACAAUGGACAGGGGGAUGAUAAUCUGGAUGAAGAUGAGAAUGAUGCUGACUUUGAAAUUGAAAUUGAGGAGGCAUUAGAAAGCGAUGCUGAUGAAAAUAUCGAAAAUGAGAAAUUAUUAGAUGACAAGCAAGAGGAAGAUUCCCGUAGGCCCGUGACUCGGCAGAAGAAACGGCUUAAGGAGUCAGCUGAAAGUAAGAAAUGCUUUCUGGGGCAACCAAAAUUGCCCUUGCGUCCUAUUCUGCCGUAUGUUGCUCAUGCCCAAGUAUCCCCUCUCCCUGCCUAUGGAUGGCAGUUUCCUUCUAAAAAUGGAGCUGAUUUGGCGAAUGGAUUCACAGCUCAGCAAAUAGGCCAGCUCUAUUGCUUAAUACAUGAGCAUGUUCAACUUUUAGUUCAAGUCUUCUCUGUUUGUGUUCUUGAUCCAUCACGACAGCCGGUUGCUGUUGAAGUUCAAAAGAUGAUCACAGAGAUGGUUUGUAGGCGCGAGGAAGCCUUGGUUUCGAACAAAGUUCCUUAUCCGAGGACUUGCUUUGAGACUCCAUAUCUUCGUUCAUCACUUGAUAAUGCUUCUAAUCAGAGUUCAGAAUUCUCCCACUGGAUGCCAUUAAUUGAUUGCCCUUUAUUUUCCAUUCUUGAUGUGGCACCACUAAGGCUGGCAAAUAGUUACACAACUGAUGUUACAGCUAGUAGGUGACUAUAUAUACGUUUAUAUUAAUUGCUUGCCAAUUUUGUGCAGGCUUCCAAAUUCUGAAGAAACAGACUUUACUUGAACUAUAGCGCAUUUUGAAAUGGGUACCUGCGGUUUUCAUUUUAGAAUGUUUCAUCGAAAUAUUUUAGAACUGAAUGGUUUUUGUUAGAAAUAUACACUCUUUUUCACUUCAGAAAUGCUGUUAAUUGCUGAUGGGAGGUUUAAAUCAAAAACAUUCUACAGCUUGGUAGUGAAUCACAAUUUUAAAGUUUAGAUACUCAUUUUAAAAUGUGCAAUAGUUCAUGUAAGUUUGUACACUUCUCCAAUUUUUUAUGACCGUAUUCCUUUUACCAAAUGAUUUUACAGCUGUUGUAAGGUAUAGGCAGAGUCAUUUGGACAAUGCAGCUGACAAAAGCCACUUGAAAAGAGAACCUCUUUUUCCUUUGCCUAUGAUCGACACCGGCAGGGAGAGUAAUAAUAAGCUUCUUGGAGGAUUUAAUACAAUGUCUACAGUUUCAUCACUUUCACCUGGUCAGCUGCAACCUAAAAAGUCAUUAGCUGCUACCCUUGUAGAAAGUACCAAGAAGCAAUCAGUUGCUAUCGUCCCUGUGGAUAUAGCCAGAUUAGCACAGAGGUUUUUUCCUCUGUUUAAUAUUGCGCUGUUUCCUCACAAACCUCCGUUGCCAGCAGUUGCAAACCGUGUGCUUUUCACUGAUGCGGAGGAUGGGUGCGUUCUUUCUCCUUUUCUACCGUUGACGUUCCAUGUUUAAUAAUUCGGUUACUUUUUUUUUUCCCCCUUUUUCUAUUCUUUGCAUUGUUUAUCUUACUUAUCUGUCUGUCUACUAUGUUUUGAGUUCUACUCAUUUGUCCAUGUUUCUUCCUGUUUAGAGCUCUUCUUUGGUUUGCUAAUUAAUCCUUGAACAUUGUAUGGAACUUAAUUAUAGCUGUUUUAGUUGAAGCUGUUGGAAUCCUCACUUAUUUUAAGAGUCUCAACCAAGUCCUUGCCAUCAACUGGAUUUUUUUAACUGAUGUGAUCAAUUUGUCUGACAUGUAAGAUACACGUGCAUCCGCUCAAGCACCUACAUACCUAAUGCAAAAUUCCUCAGGCUAGUAAAAAUUGGAUCUAGAAUUAUUAGCACUUUGUUGAUACAUAAUAAUCUUCUUUAGAUCUAGAAUUGUUAGCUCUUUGAUUUCUUUCUGAUUCCUCUUUCAUGGAUUACACCGCCUUAUGAUUCACGAUUUGAUGUUAUCACUCUUACUUAGCCAGGAUUCGGUUACUGUUUUAUUUUCUUAAUUUUUGAGAUUCUUGCAGAUUACUAGCAAUGGGACUGAUGGAGUAUAAUAAUGAUUGGGGUGCGAUACAGAAGCACUUUCUUCCUUGUAAGUCGAAACAUCAGGUAAUAUCUGUAAUUAUUUUGAUACUUUUGUGAAUGUCUACAUGACAUGAACUUGCCUGCUUUCUGACCAAAAUGUGUCGUUGUGUUUAUAAAUUCCAAAUACAUAGUUUUUAUUUGCUAAUUUUGAUAUGGAAACUUUUUAAUAAGGCAUUUUAACCUUUCUUUAUGAUGAUUUGACAACAUGGUCUUUCUUUGAUGCAGAUUUUCGUCAGACAGAAAAACCGCAGCUCUUCUAAAGCUCCUGAGAAUCCAAUUAAGGUAAGCAUUCGAGUGAAUGACUAAAAUAUGUAUUUCCGUGUGCUCUUUCCAUCACAUGCUUAUAUAUGAUAAAAUUUGGUGGAAGUAUGCAUAUGAAAACAAAAGUUUGACUUCAGUGCUCAAUUGUGCAUUGAGAAUUUUUUGAAAUCCAUCAAGUUUUAAAUUCUGCUUCUCAUUUUAAGUUUUCAAUUGUUGGCUUGUUUUAAAGGCUUAUUUAUUUGUCAACUCAUCCAGGCUGUGCGACGUAUGAAGACCUCUCCGUUGACAAUAGAUGAAAAGGCACGGAUCUACGAGGUGAGUUGAUUGAAAAUCAUUAAUAGAACUGAUAUGGGCUAUAACUUAUUUAAGUCAUAAUCCCAUCAUACUCGUGUUUGAAGCCAGGGACUUAAAUUAUUCAAACAUGAUUGGAUAUCUGUUUGGAAAUUUUUUGUCCCACAUCGAGAUCCGUCACUAUUGCCACGCCAGUGGAGAAUUGCUACUGGAACCCAGAAGUCCUACUGUAAAAGUGAAGCUGUUAAAGAAAAGAGGCGAUUAUAUGAAGCAAAAAGAAGAAAAAUGAAAGCUUUAACGGCUGAUACAGAAACAAUACCUGGAAACGAGGUUAGUUAACAUAAUCAACUUUAAACAUUAUAUUUGCAUUAAAAUCCCUGGAAAAUUAUUUUUAUAUAUAUAUAUGUAUGUAUACCCCUGCAAAGUCUAAAUUAUUAUGUAUACCCAUUAAAAACUUAAUUUCUUUUGCAUAUGCCUUUGUAUUACAAAAGUACCCCUCUUUAGGCAAACUUACUCUGAUACAAAACCAAUUUACCAACAUAAAUUGUACACCUAAGCGUCCUAUUAAUUUGGUGGAUGAAUGACUACCAGGUUGACAAUGGAGGACCUAACAGUUCGGAUGAAAUGGAUAAUGAAAACGAAGCUUAUGUUCAUGAAGCAUUUUUAGCAGACUCGAGCAUUGGUAGGAAUGACACACAGUCUGUUCAGUUGAUACAGCAUGAGGGGGCUUACAUUGGUCAAAAAUCCUCCACUAAUACAGAUGAAUCUGAUGAUCUACAUCAAGUAGGUGGAACAAAGCUUGAUCUUCCAACAUCCUCAAAGACUUUUGAAAACACGAAUGAUUUUUCCAAGCAGACUGGUGUAUACUCUGUUUCACCUAUGAACUUAUUUUCUGGGUCAAAGUCAAAGUCCAUAGGGAAAAAUAUGUUGGUCUCAGUGCCUCAAGCACGCAAAAAUAAAGGGGCCCGGGUAGUGAAGUUGGCUCCCGACUUGCCACCUGUAAACCUCCCCCCCUCUGUUCGUGUGAUAUCCCGCUCAGCUUUUCAUGGCUUUCGUGGUGGAUCAUUAUUUUCUAACAUCAGUUCUAAUGCAACGAAAGAUGUUGUUUCUACGAGCUCUCAGGCCAUUACAAAAUAUAUUAAUACAGAAAAUCCAGGAAAACAGUUGAAUCUAUGCUCUGAUGGGGGUCCCCAUACAAAUAUGGCUGAAGAAAAUCCUGUUGAGUCUGAUUUCCAGAUGCAUCCUCUACUAUUCCAGUGUCCUGAAGAUCAAUCAUCAUAUUACCAUCAAGUGAGCAGAUACAGUUUUCUCUCUCAGAAUAGCGGUCAGGUUGAUCCCGUAGUGGGAGUAAAAGAUAACAUCAACAUUAUUUCGUACUCGAGAGAAGCUCCUGCAGAGGUGCAUACUAUCGACUUCCACCCUCUACUGCAAAGAAGUACUGGUGCAACUUUGUCGACCAGAAUUAGAGGUUCUGAGAACAUAGUAUCAGAUGUAGAGUGCCAUCAAUUCCUCGACCAAUCUGACUGUAACUUGAGAGAAUCUGUAAGCCACAGUGAGAAGGAAAACAAUCUUGACUUGGAUUUCCGCUUAUAUUCUGCAACAGAUAAUGAAAACUUAAAAUUUGCUAGCAGAGAUUCACUUGAGCAUGUCGAGUCAAGGACUUCUUAUUUGAAGCAUAGUGGUCUUUCAAAUUCGAGCAGAGUUUUUGCCCAGUCACAAGAGUGCGAGGUGGAAAAUGUUCAUCUUAUUGGACCUGAACCUACUAGAAUGAAUAAUUAUGCUCGCCAAUCCUUGGAAGAGCGUAAUGAGGAGUCUUUGCCAGGUAUUGUAAUGGAACAGGAGGAAUUGAGUGAUUCGGAUGAAGCGAGUGAACAUGUGGAGUUUGAACGUGAGGAAAUGGACGAUUCAGAGGAAGAUGCACAACCUUCUCAAACCCACAAUUUUGUCACCACUUUACUGAAAAGAAUGCUGCCUCUAUGAAUUUAUAUUGGCUUCUUUUUACCCAGCAAUUCUAUCUUCUCAAGAUACUGCUCACACUUCUGUAUUCUUCUGCAUAAUUUAAGUUACCAGGAUUCCGACUAACUUAAAAUGUUUCUUGUUCCAUUAUUUUUUUCCCCUACAUAAUGCAUCAGAAUUCGAAAGUUAGACGGCUCGCAAGGUUUAGAAAUAUCAAAAUUUUAGAAACUUGGAUUUUGGUAGUUCUAUUUGUUACCUUAAAUCCUUUUUUUUGGUCAGGAUAUUCAAACCUUUGUUUCUCUGGGGGAACACCAAGCCAUUGAUGAACAUAGUCAAGUGCAUCGGCCAAGAUCAAUCAUCCAACAAGGACCAGCCCAAGAGAGCAAACUCUGUUCAAGCUCAUCACAGGCGCGACAAGAUCCAUGUCAUGCUAAUGUUCCCCAAUUAAAGCCAAAGAAAGACUCUGGCAAAAAGGACACGUUGCGCAAAACUCAUCUUGGUGCAGCUCAUGCACGUCCUCAUCAAUCGAGCAAGGCGCGACCAAAAAGCUCGAGAGCCUGCCCAAUUGAACCGCGGCGGCUGCAUUUGCAAACGGAUACCGAAUGCAUGAAUGCUAAUCCCAGAAAACCGAGAAAACGGUCAGCUCCAAAUUAAUUCAGUGCUAACCUUUUUUUUCUUUUUCUCUUUCUCUCUUGCUCUGUAUAUCUUUGAGACUAAAAGAUCCAGUGGUGCUUUUUAGCCGGUUUAGUUAUUCGGGAACAACCAUCAAAAAAUAAUAAUAAUAACAAGUUAACAACGGAAAAAAGAAAAGGCACUGAUAACCAAAUUAGCAUUUGACACCCUAGGCUUAGCUACUAACUGUAACUUCUUAGACAACUUCCUCGUAGGAAUAUAUUUAGAUUAGAACCUGUGAGGAAAGCGAGUGAGGCGGUUCUCUGCUUCAGAUAUUGGUGGAUGUACCUUGUAAUUUGUUAAUGAUGUAUUGUAUACACCACACUUGUAAAUGUUUGAGGUCUUUCUCCAUGUGCAGAAAUGAUACUAAGGAGCUUUUAGAUUCGUUGCAAGUGAUUUAUUAUCAUCAAAUUGAAAAGUAAAAACUUCCGUAAUCGAAUUCUAUGAGCCUAGGUGGUAAAUUUGGUAGAAAGAUGAAUAUGCCCUUCAUUUGUUCUUAAGGAAAAAAAGAAAAAAGAAAAAAAAACCACCAGCACCAAAGGAACAAAAUUGAACGAACUGACAAUUCUCCAAAUCGAUUAAACUAAUAAAUAACCACGUAUAGCACAAUAGUCACACAUACGAGGCAGAUUCAAUGCAAACAUACAUAUUGACCAAAUUAUAAACACAUCGCUCAUCAAACAGCCAUUAGUUUCCACUUAACAAAUGGGUAGGGAUACUCUAAACACCCUGUGCACUCGGUAUCCUGAAGAGAGGUGCAACCCUUCACACGAUGAGCCCCCAUAACUAUGGCUAGCUCCAUCUACUUCCUUCUUUGAUAUAUCUGUAUUUUAAACUGAAUAAGUAUAUGAGACGAUUCAAAAUAAUUGAUAUCCCUCUAUUUAAAGGAAAAUAAUAUAUGCAAACAAAUGCAAGCAUAAAAAAUAAAAAUAAAGGAAGCACAUUUAGUAUGCGAAUGUAAAUAAGAAUUAUCACCCAAUGUAAACUAGUCAAAUAAUUGAUGAGUAUAAAAGUCCUGUUCAUGUGUUUUUAUCAGCUAGAUAUUUACCUUCCUCGGCCUUCGGACGAGGAACUGAAGAUGAACUGUAACUAAGCUCGUGAUGAAGUUCAGGAGAUAAGAUAGAAACCUUUGGAAUGGAUUAGCGUGAGAUCUCCAGCCUUUGGUUCUUUUGCAUGAUAAUAGGGAGCUUAUGAACAAUGAGGUUGGGAUCUCCAUAGGCUGCAGAAUCAGAAGGAAUGCCUUGCUGCACGACGCAGCAAGAUUUGAAAAAAGCAAUUCAACUUACAUUUUCUUAGUUGCAAGAAGAACAGAAAAUUCUAAAUCAAAGCAUAACUUUUUUUUGAGAGAGAAAGAAAGGUAGCAUGCUAACUGCUUCGUUUAUUUCAUUUUUAGAAAUAAAUUUAGCUAGAAAUGUGAAGCAACUAGGCUUCGAACCUGAGACCUCAAGUACCAACCAUCACUCUCAUUACCAUUUGCGCUAGGGACAGUCGGUAAUCAAAGCAUAACAUUAUCGUAGAACAAGGUCAGGUAGGAUUUCUAGCACACUAACUGUAGUAUGAAAGAGCAAAUAGACUUACAGCAGACAAACUUUGGAUAGUUGCUUCUCUCCAGCAGCUUUCCCGCAGAACUACAGGUUCAGCAUUGCCAUUACUACCAAAAGCACAAUAAACUCGAGUAUCCCUCAACCUCAUUAGCACUCCAUCAACUCUAAGCUGUUAAAAUAACACAUUCAGUAGCUAAAAAAUAAUACUAUGAACAGCAUAACUAUUCCAAUAAGUACAACUAACAUUAUAGAAAAUUAACAUGAUAAUUAAUCAUGAUAAUCCAAGUCUUUUUCCAUCAAAACUCACUCAGAAUCUAGGCAUUCCGUUAUCGAAUGCAUACUUCAUAUAUUCAAUAACGGAAUCUAAAUAAAAAUGUAAGGGACACUUUUGAGCCAAGGUAUUUAAACAUUACCCAGUAACGUAAUAGAAGAAACCAACAGCUUGGCAUCACUCUCUGCAGACAUACAAUAAAAGACUCUGUAAAACUUCAAAAGUCUAAAUACUCUUGCCUAUUCAAGGCCAACUUUGUUAACUAGACAAGCAAAAAGUACUUACCACUUUCACCGUUAGUAACGAUACCCCAUUGUCAGCCAACUCAUCUUCGUACAAAACAACCUAGAUAAUUAGGUUAAACUCUAAUUAGACGUGGCAACUACAUCUAUCACCCUAUUAGCUAUUAUAUCAAACUAAUCAACCUCAUCAUAAAAAAGAAUUGGUUCUCUUGACGACAGUGCAGCCAGAUCAAUUCGCUCAUCCGUGUCCUGCCAAUGCAAACCCUUCUGCAUUGCAAUGGUAUUCAGAAGUUAGUGUGGUUAUCUCGUAAUAGAUAUAUACCAAGCUAGAUGAACCUAAACAAAUAUAAGCAUGUAAAAAGUAAAACCAAUGUUACAAUAACAAGUCAGCUGAAUGUUGUGCAUAACUAUUUAUCUUUGCUUAAUAUUUGUGUGCUUGUGGUGAGCAAACUAGAAAUGUUUCAGGUUGAGGUGUUCUAGAAAAAUUGGAACGUUGGGAAGUAAAUACGAAGUGUCUGAAGAGGGUGCCAAUGGGAAAUGUAACGACUUUUCUUCAUUUCAUCAGAGCAAGUCACACUAGGAAAGAUAAAGUCCCACAAAAAAUUUAAUCUGAGUGGAAAGAUACAAGAUGUUGAGACUCCAAACUACAUCAAAACAUCCAGUGCAGAUUGAUUUAGCAGCUUUUACUUGCCGCCGCUAAAAUAACAUACUCAAAGAGGCAAAAGUAACAAAUAUAACAAACAAAAAUAAAAUAAGAAGCUUAUAUCUAAUAUUUAAUAAAUAAGUUCUGUAGCUAUAAAGACAAAUAAACACCUUUUCAUAGUUCGGUUCUAUCAUCUCACUGCCGCAAUAUGGUGUUGUGAAUGUAUAGUCAUAAUCAAGUAUCACUUGCUCAGAAGGUUUACUGCAAGACAACAACAAUAAGUAAAGAGCAAAAACAAGACAAUUUAAACCCCUUUAACAGAAGAAUCACCCAGGUAAAUAUAAAAAAAUAAAAAAUAAAAAAAAAGAAGAAGAUUCAAAGAAGUGUUUUGUCUUUUUGGAUCUCAUAAUUAGUGUUGUUACUGCUGCCUCUUAGAUCUAUGUAGAAUAACAAAAAUGUCAUGCAGAGUCAAAUUAAAAUAAAACACGUAAAGUAUCUUUAACAUCUUAGUUCUUCCUAAUAUACAAAGAACAUAAGUUAAAUGAACCUUCUAAAUUUCCAUUUUGCAGCAGCAGGGACUUCAACAGGUGGUAACGACUCCUGCUUCCAUCCCCUGAGAGCAUCUAAUGCAUUGAAAUGUAACUUAAUACCAGAGCUUAUAUGUAAAAGAGACAGAGAACUCUCUCCGAAAACCAUCUCAGGCAUAUGUGACGUUCCAAGCUUUUCUUCCCACCUGAAGAAACACCGCAAGAAAUAACCAAUCGUAAUGACGAAUAAGUAGUAUCUCAACUUUAGCUUCAAAAAUACCAAUGUACAAAUUUUCUCUUUCAUUUGCAAUCUCAUCGAAGACUCGAACAAAACUGCUACUCUUGGACAAAUAAAAGACCAAAGCCGCCUUUCGGGAAUAAUCCGUGCCUUAACUGCUAUCAUAUCUUAUCCUAAUUGUACAAGUAAUCAACUAAAAACAAAACUCACUUGUAUAUUACGAUCAAAUUAACUUAAAUCAUCUUCCACCGCACAACAUUUCCCUUCUACUUGCUCUCGCAAGCGAAUCACACUACCAAAAUUCCCAUAAGCUGUUCAUAAAUUUCUAAUAAGAAUUACUUCAACGCACAGUUGCUUCCGUCGCCGCAUAAACUUUAACUAUCUCCUUAACACGUAUUUCUUAAUCACCGAAUAAUUACGGCUUCGAUUGCGCGCAAAUUCUCCUGUAAGCAACCCUAAAACCAUUUACACUCGCUAGGGCAACCACUUCACGGAUCCGAUCGUUUCGAUGAAAAUUACAAAGAGCGGAGAUCAAGCAGCUAGGGUUUCGCAGAUCAAACCACACACAAAAAAAGGAGAGAGAGAGAGAGAGAGAGAGAGAGAGGGAUCGGAGGGUUGCGUACUCGCGUAUGGCGAGGGAGUUGAGGAUGGGGCGCUUGCGCGACUCGACGCACCAACCCUUGAGCACGAGACCGUUGCGGGCGUGGGGGAGCGGCUCCGCCCCCGCCGCUUUGAGAUCGCUCGCCUCCGCUCUGCCCCNACGAUCCACGUAUAAUUCUAACAAUCUCGUUUUUUUUUUAUUUUCCAUCUAAUAAUUUUAGAUUUUUCUAUUUUUCAUAUAAUCUACAUAUAAUUCUAGUAAAGAAGCAUAUUUCUUUUUUUUUUUUUCUUCUCUCUCUUUAUUUGGGAGUAAGAGUUGGUUUAGGCUUAGUUUGGUAUUGAUGUCAAUCUAAUACUGUCCGAUAGAAUGGAGUUCAAAAAAAAUAUAUAGAAAUAUGCUUCUGUUACGAUGGGACCGCAGAAAAUAUAUCAUAACCAACGCAAUAUGCGGAAUGCAAUAUUACAUACGAAAACAAACAAUAUAUUUUUCCAUCAUCGCCCAUCGUUGUUUAUCACCGCAAGUAACGCAAUUUUUUCGCAAUUCUAAACGAAACCUUAUGAAUCUUAUAAAUUCGUGAUCAAAGGAUCGGGUCUAAAUUUGGUUUAGUUUAAAUUUAAUCUAACCUGAAGAGUUUACUUUAGGACAUAUUUCAAAACAAAACACCGAAAGUAGUACUUUUACAAGGUGAAAUUUUAGUGAUUAUUUGAUUUGAUUUGCAAGACAAAUAUAAAAAUUAUUUUAUAAAAAUAGAUUAAAUAAAUAAAUUAUAAAUAAAUCUUAAUUAUUUUGACUUUGUGACCAAAAUAUUUAACAUACCACAUCAAAUUUACGAGGAUGGAAACCUGGGGAUGGGCGCUCGCAAUAGACGUACAGAUGGAUAGGACCAAGGGAAUAUGACUUUGAACUAAUUCGAUUUGAAGUCUAGUUUGGCGGAUUAGGUUCGAUUGGAGUAAGUUCUAUGCAAUCAUCUUCCAUCUACAUCAAAACAAACAACCAAACAGUAUCACUUUAUCCAUGCUCCAACUGUAUCUUAUCAUUUAACCAAUCCAAACACCCUCACUCGAAUACCUUUAUACAAAAUCUCUAUGUAUGUUAUAAUAUGACUUGCGUUGAAGUGUUUAUUACUUUGUCGUUGAUAAGAUGAGCAGACCACAACUCUUAAACAAAUAGCGUGUUUUGAGAUUAUGAAAAUGCCAUUCGAACAGUUUAAUGGUUCAUUGAGCCUCGUGUAUUUUUAACCCUUUUUCUUUUAUCGGACUCUCCAAUAACUUUGCCAUCAAUAUUUUUAUUACACGCAUUGAAACACUAGAUAGGAAGAAGAGCUCGCCCUUCCGAAGUGUGAUGAGAGGAGUUUGUGAGGUACCACCCGCGGCUGAAGAGGUUGAAUCACGACCAGGAGAGAGAGAGAAGAUGGAAAAAUAUGCGAAAUGUAAAUGUCAUAUUUGAUAAAGGGGGUGCGAAUGUUCUUAGCUUCCGGUUCUCAUUCCAUUAUGUUUGAGAUCGCUUCCAUGAUGAUUGAUUAUGGACUUGUGUUAUUUGUUGCAGGUAAGCUCGAACUAGUAAUAUAUUUGGAGGUUGGGGCAAAUGCUACACUAGUAAGUUCUCGGGUUCAUUUGACAUACUUGAAUUUCAAAAUUUAUUGUUGAAGGCGAUACAUUUAAUCGAAUCAGUGUGGCGAAAGAUGAACCGUCCAUGAAGUUUGAGUAGCAUCACACCGAGCAUUAGAUGUGCUAGUUAGGGAUUUCAUAAAGUUCAAUUUUUUGUUAAAUUAGCUUCGUUUGAUUCGGAUAUAAAUAAGAACUGUUUAUUUCGGAAAUAUGUAUAAGUUAAAUAUGAAAUAGAUCAAUUUUACGUUUAGAUAAAAAUUGAGUUGUUUUCAUAAAUAAAAUAAAUAACGCUUUGAUAGAUAAGAUGAAAUAAGAAGAAUAGUUAAUAGUUAUAAAUAGAAAAUAAUGAUAUUACUCUGAUAUUAUAUUCGAAUUUUAAAUUUUUAAAUUUUAUAUUUGAAUUUUUAAAAUUAAAUAUAUAACUUUUAAAAUUAAAAAAUUCAGAAAUAAAUUUUAAAUUUUAAAUCUCAAAUUUCAAAAUUUAAAGUUCUAAAUUUUAAAUUUAAGAUUAAAUUUAAAUUUUAAAAAAAUCUAAAAUAUCAAAAUUUAAAUUUAAUAAAUUUAAAAUAUUAAUUUUUAAUUUAAAAUUUAAAAUUUAAAAUUUAAAAUUUAAAAUUUAUAAAAUUUAAUUUUAAAAUUACAAAUUACAAAAAUUUUUUAAAAUUAAAUUUAAAUUAUUUUUAAAAUUAAAUAGGGGUGGAAAACAUCUGUUUCUCCUAUUCCCACACAAGUGCUAGGAUUGCUAUCCCAUCCUUCUCUUUUUUCUUUUUUUUUUUUGUGUUUGGGGAUAGGGGGAAUAACCCUUUAUGCCCCCCACUAUCCCCGAACCAAAUGCCUCCUUUGUGAAUAGAAUAAUUUAUGAAACUUGAUACUAAAUAAAGACUCUGAUUGGGAUACUAUCGAUAGCACGAAGUAUUUGGUGCUAUUAAGUUUUCUACCUUUAGAUUUACUUCUUUUAUCAUUUUCAUCCGUUCGAUUAUACUAUUCAACUAACCACCCACUGAACCAUAGAGAGCUCACAUCAUCCUAACCACACAUCUUUUAAUGCAAGAGUAAAAAACUUAAUAGCACAAAGUUAUUGGUGUCAUUAAUAACAUUCCAGCAUAGUUCCUAAAUAAAUGCAAAAACUCUUCACCGUCUGGCAUUUUGUAUAUGCAGUUAAAAAUACUUUCGGUUGUAAUAUGUUGUAGCUUCUGGUCAAAUGUUGGAUAAUGCUUUUAUUUUUUCGGCUAUUUUGCAUAAAAAAUUUAUAAGUUUUGAGCUUUUGUAAAACUGGACCACAUUUUUCAAUUUUACAGAUUCGGACCGAAUUUUUAAAAUACUGACCAAAAUACAUUUAUUUCUUUCUCUCUCUCCUUUUUUUUUUUUUUUUUCUCUCAUUCGUUUUCUUACCUCUCCGAAGAGAGAGGCGGAGGCGGCCCGUCUUCUCUCUGUCUCCCGCACCCUCGCCCGCGUCCACACACUAUCUGUCCUAACGAGUGGCGAUGACAGGAUUGGAGAUAAGGAGGGCGGGUGGUAAAAAAAAAAAAAGAAAAGAGAGAAAAAUAAGAAUAUUUUGAUCAGUUUUCUAAAAAUUCAAUCUGUGUAUAUAAAAUCGAAAAAAACGAAUCAGUUUUAUAAACACUCAAAAUUUGUGAAUUUUUUAUAUAAAUUGACAUUUUUUUUUUCAUGCAGGGACAAAAAGGAAUUUCCAAAAAAACACCCUUUAAGAGAAACCAACGAAGUACUGCCACGUAUUCAGGUUGUACCAGUUCCCUACAACUCUAUCCGUAGGAACCCGCCCUCGUACGUCGCAUUUGAAAUCCAAAAUGAAAAAAAGGAAGCGAACUCCAAUUCUCCCGCUUCAAAGUAAAGCCGAAUCACGAUUAAAAUCCCAUAGAUAAAAACACCCCGCCACUGUUUCCUCCCCAAUUCCCCAGGCCCCACACGAAAAAGAUUCCCCAAAGUUUCCCCCAGAUUUUUUUUUAAUUAAUUUUUUGACCCCAAAUUUCCCAANCCCCAAAAAAAAAAAAACCGCAACGGUCUCUCUAGCGCGCGCCCUCUUCCUCUUCUCUUUCUUCUUUUUAUUUUCGAAUUAAUCGAAUCCCUCCCUCCUCCCACCCCCCCCAAAAAUGGCGCCCAUCUCCUCUUCUUCUUAUACAAACCCCUUCAACUCACUCAUAUCUCUGUCUCCUCUUCCUCCUCUUCCGCCUCCUCCUCCUCCUCCCCCCUUCCUAUCUAACCCUAACCCUAGCCGAGCCUUAGCUGCUAGGGUUUAGACGAAGGGAGGAGUCGCCAUGGCCGGCAAGGAGAACCUCGCCCCGCGCCACACCCGCGCCGCAGCGAAACGCGUAGCCUCGGCCUCCUCCGCGGCGAACAAUCCCCCGGCGAAGAAGAAGCGCGUGGCGUUGAGCGAGCUCCCCACGCUCUCCAAUGCCAUCGUCCGAAACCCUUCCCCAGAUCCCCUCGCCGCCCCUUCCAAGCCCAAGCAGAGAUCCAGGAAGGGGGAGCAGGAGAAGGUGGUGGUGGUAGCUGUUGAUGAGAAGAGGCCCCCCUUGGAGCUCUCCAAUGGCGCCGAGUCGGAGAUCGAUGACCUGCAGAUGUGCUCGCCAUAUGUUUGUGAUAUUUACCAGUACCUCCGAUCCAUGGAGGUUGGUGUUUGAGCUUCUGGGUUGCUGCAAUUAGGGUUUCUUCAUAUGGAAUUCUUAUUAGGAUGGUGUGAUCUGAUCUGUGCGUUGGCUACUUUGCUGAGACGGUUCAGAAGGAUGUUACUGCUAAUAUGAGGGGGAUUUUGGUGGAUUGGUUGGUUGAAGUGGCGGAGGAGUACAAGCUUGUCUCAGAUACUCUUUUCCUCACUAUAUCAUAUAUAGAUAGAUUCCUAUCCUUCAAUUCUAUUAAUAGGCAGAAGCUGCAGCUUCUCGGGGUGUCUUCGAUGCUCAUUGCCUCGUAAGCUCUGACCCUUUUUCAAUUUCCCAACUGUAAUUAGCCAUUUCCCCUCUUUUGUAUGUGUAUUUAUUGGUGUUUUCUUUGUUGGGAUUCAAUGAGUACAGGAAAUAUGAAGAGAUAAGCCCUCCUCAUGUGGAGGACUUUUGCUACAUUACAGACAAUACUUACACAAAGCAAGAGGUUAGUGUUUUGCUCCUUUUUUUUUUGUUUCAAAUGUGGCGAUGUUUAGUUGUUUCUUUGGGUUAUAUCUUACUUGUUAGCUAUAUGUGGGGAUACAGGUAGUGAAAAUGGAGAGUGACAUACUAAACUUCCUCAAAUUUGAGAUGGGAAAUCCUACCACUAAAAUUUUUCUGAGGUAACAAACUUUGUCAUUUCCCUUAGUAUUAUUGUAAUUGUUUGAGCCACUAUUCGAUAGUAAUCUACUAUGCUCACUGUACUUUGCAAUUUGUUGCUUGCAGGCGAUUUGUAAAAAUGGGUCAAGAGGAUAACAAGGUAAAAGUUUGUUCACCUUUUUGGUCUGUUUUAAUGUGACCUUAUGAUGCAUUUUUUGUUUUUGAUUUGGUUACUUGUUACUUAUGAUGGUCCUUGUUACUUUCUACAGUACUCGAAUCUACUAUUGGAAUUUCUUGGAAGUUUCCUUGCCGAGUUAAGUCUCCUGGAUUAUGGCUGUGUUCGGUUCUUACCGUCAAUUGUUGCUGCGUCGGCUGUUUUUCUUGCACGGUUCACCAUCGACCCAAAAUGCCAUCCUUGGGUAAGACUUAAGAGCAAGCUGUUUUACAAGAAUUGUAACUUGCUUUCAAUUGGGUUCUUUGUUACUUGUGCAAACUUUAUUUUCCUUGGCUAACAAUAUAAUCUCUCCACAGAGCAAACAGAUGGAGCAGUGUACUGGGUAUACGGUGUGUGAGUUGAAGGAUUGUAUCCAAGCUAUGCAUGAUUUACAGUUGAAUAGAAAAGGAUCUAAUUUGGUGGCUAUCAGGGAAAAGUACAAGCAACAUAGGGUAAUUUUGUUUUCCUUUUGAUCUGAUAGUCACUUUGCUUUGUAAAUGUAGCAAAUGACUUCUUUCUAGUUUGAUUUCAUUUGGCUGAAUUGCAUUAAUGUUUUGUGACAGUUCAAGUGCGUGUCGAGCUUGCUCUCUCCUCAAGAGAUACCUGCAUUAUACUUUGAUAACUUUAAAGGUUAGCCUUUUGGAAGAUUAUUAGAUGUAUCGUCCCAACCACUGAUUACUAAUUGAGGCUUAGUAGCUUUGCACUUGCGGAAAGUGCAAUCCCAAAUCACCUGGCUGAGGAGAUUGAAGCCCUUUGGAGCGCCGAAGCUUGGAGAAAGUAAAUAUGCAAAAUUGGUCUGCUGUUGAAAGGACCUGACAAAGCUUACCAGGGCCAUUGCUUGUACUUGUUCGAAGAAAUUGUCAUUCUCAAUUUUGAGAAGAGGUGGUUUUGGAAUUAUGAAUAUCAUGAUCAGAAUAUGUUGUCAUCAAAAUUCUAUGGUUCUGAACUUCUGGGUUAUCUGUUUUUCUUGAGGAAGUACCUCUGCUACAUCAAUUCUUCAUGUAGAUUUGUAGCAAGAAAAUAUACAUAGUUGCUGAGCCUCUUUAGAAAAAUGUUAAAUUGGUUCUUUACUAGUUUUAGAUAGCAUGAUAAUAAGGUUUCAUGGUUUUAACAGAAUAUGGCUUACAUAUCAAUUCCUAUACAUAUGAUGGGAGGGACUUAUAUCCAUUUUUUGAUAAUCCUUCGUAAUUUCAAUUGAAAUUAUAUAAAUUAUUAUCAUUCAACUCGAGUACUUUUAAAAGGUACUAGUGAAGUAGUAAAAUUAUUGUAGAUUUUUAGAUAGUAGAAAUAUUAAAUUAUUAUGGAUUAAAGAGAUAUUUUUAUUUUUAUUUUUGAUGAAAAUCAUUAGUAGUCAAUUAAUAAGAAUACACUAUAUUUUAAUAAUCUCUCGAUUCAAGUGAUUUGAUAAGUUAAUAAUAAAUUGGUCGUUCCAAAUACAAAAUAUACAAAUAUUAUUAGAGUACAAAUUUUGAACCAAACGACUCCAAGUGUCAUUUUAAUAGAGAUACUUAAAUGUGUUGAUAUAUAUGUGAGUGUGGGUGUGUAAAUGUAAUGAAAUCAAGUAGUGUGCCCAAUGUUCUUUUUUUUUUUCUUUUUUUUUUUUCUCUGUUUUUCUAGAUCUUUCAUCUUAACAUGCGCAUGUUCCUCUGGUCACCCAAGCCAGCUUUGUGUCUUGAGCAUUUGAUAUUUUGAUCAUCUUUUCCUUUAAUAUUUUGGACUUCGUUUAGCUUUGCCAACCAUCGUAUAUUUUUUAGAGAAAUUUUCAAAAUCACUUACUGGUUCAUAAUAAAAAUAUGCAUACGAUAUGAAUUUUUUCACUAAGAUAGUGAACUUUGUAAAGCCGCGUGUGUAUUAAUUUCCUGUGCAUAAUGUUACUCAUAUUUGCCCGAAUAUGAAUACUCAUUUUCUUAAAAUGGACUCAAGCAUUGAAUUUUGAUCAAUUAUAAAUGAUAUUUGGUUACUACACAUCCGUAUUUGUUUGGAUUCAAGUCAAAUCUGACUCCGACCGGAUCCAGGGUCCGGUAAAGGUCAGAAAAUAUUAUCCGACCCGUUUACUGUUCCCAGCUUAAUAAGGCUCCGCAAGACGCGCGCGCGCGAAAUUGUUGAGGGUGCGCACGUGUGGGUUUUAAAAGUUCUCACGUGCGACCAUCCUCAACACUAACCCCACUCUCAACCUCCCAAAACUCCCUCAUUUCUCUUAUUUAUUUAAACCAUUAAAACUCUUAAACUCUCUCUCUCUCUCUCUCUCUCUCUCUCUCCAAUCGAACAGCGAUACUUGCAAAGUUAUUUAGCAAAUUCAGUGGAGAAUAUAUGCAUUCGAAGCGGAGAAUAUACACAUUAGACGCCAUUUCUUGUGGAAUAUGGCUUCUUGAACCGGCGCUUCUUCUUGCAAGCCAUUGCAGUGUAUGUGAAUUCUCUUACCUCCUGAAGCCAUAGAUUUUCUCUCUAAGGCUAACACUUACGCUUCUCGAAGAAGAACAUAUUCACAUCUUUGCAGUUGCGCACGAUCGAACCCGUUUUUAUGGAGUAUUACAAUCUUGAAUUGCAUGUUGUUUUGUUUCUUAUGAGUAAACAAGGAUUCCAAGAACUUGGUGGACUAUACAGUGUGGAAAGCAUUUUAAGGAUAGGCCGUGAAUCGAGAUACGCUAGAAUAUAUUGAAGAGAUUGUUACUAAAUUUGCGCAGAGUGGAGUGAGAGAGGCGUAGCGGAAAGAGGUGUUCUUUAGCCCGAGGCAAUGUGGGAGGAUUACGGGGGUUACGCUUCAGAGAUAGAUAGAUACCUCCGAGAUGUGGAGGUUCGUGGUCGAUCUUUCAGUUUGUUGCAGCCGGGGUUUUGUCUUACAGAGUUCUUGAUCCGAUUUGGUUAUUUGGUUCUUGGCUAUUGCGGUGGCAAUGUUUUCUAGACGGAGGAGAGGAGAAUGCCGCGAGCGGACUAUUUAAAGACGGUUCAAACGGAGGUGACAGCUUCUAUGCGGGCGAUUCUGGUGAACUGGUUGGUGAAUUUGGCAAAUGAGUUACAGUUUGCACCGGAUACUCUUUACCGCGCCAUAUCGUACAUUGAUAGAUUCCUAUCCUUCCGUUCUAUCGCUACGAAGCAGCUGCAGCUUCUUGCUGUGUCUUCGAUGCUCAUCGCCUCGUAAGCUCUAUUCUUUUUUGUUUACUUCCAUAUAUAUAUAGUUUGUUCUUGCCCUUCUUAUUUCUUAAUAUUCAGAGCUCUCUCUCUCUCUCUCUGGUUGGUAUUCAACGAACACAGAAAAUAUGAAGAGAUAAGACAUGCUACUGCCUCGCAGUUCUCCUACUAUACUGAUUGGGCUUACUCGACACGAGAAGUAAAUUUUCUGCUCUUUUUAAUUUGAAUAUGGUUAUAUUUACUUGUUUCUUUGAUUCGACCGUUAGCAACAUGUUGAAGUGCAGGUGGUGAAUAUGGAGGGAGACAUACUAAAAAUUCUCCAAUAUGAAAUCGGGAAUCCGACAGCGAAAACUUUCCUCAGGUAGUGGUCUUUCUGAGAAAUCAAAUUCGCACUUCUACAAUCUCAUUCUUUCAUUUCUCUCUUUCUGAUGAAAUUACAGGAAUCUCAUUCUGGAAAUUAUGAAACAAUCACAUAGAGAAAACUUAGUUAUUUGAACCUUCUUAAUUCUUUUGAUUGACUCAUCCAGUAAUUCAUUGGCCUAACUGUAACCUAUAUUUCGUUACCUGUAGGCAGUUCAUGAUGGUCGCUCGAGAGGAUGUCGAGGUAAAUAUUUGUUCAACUUUGGCUGUUGUAUUCUGGGGCUUAAGAUGCAUUCUUUUUUGCUUUGUGACCUUAUGAUGUUUAUGUUGUUUCCUACAGUACUCAAAGCUACUGUUGGAGUUUCUUGCGAAUUACCUUGCUGAGUUAACCUUACUCGACUACGGUUGCAUUGGCUUCUUACCAUCAAUUGUCGCUGCUUCAGCCGUUUUCCUCGCGAGGUUCACCAUUAAGCCAAAAAGACAUCCCUGGGUGAGAACAAGAAGUUCAUUUACCAAAAAAUACGGCUUCUGAUUGAAGUUUUUAUUCACGAAAACAAAGGCUUUUCUUUGAAAUAGAGCUCUAUGCGAUUCUCAUGCUCCUCUCCCCCUUCUCUACAGAGCAAACAGUUGGCGAAGUAUACGGAGUAUGCGGCGCCUGAUUUAAAGGACUGCGUCACAGCUGUACAUUAUUUGCAGUUGAAUAAUGGAUUUUCGUUAGCGAACAUCCCAGAAAAGUACAAGGAUCACACUGUAAUUUCUUUGCCGCCUUCUUUCUUUUUGUUAACUACGAUUUGUAACCGUAAACAUGGCUCGUCUUGUUUGAUCUUAUUUGGUUGAAUGCCUUGUACUUAUCUUUUCGCGACAGUUCAAAUGCGUCUCCAGUUUGACAUCUCCUGAAGAAAUUCCUGCACUGUAUUUUGAUUACACUAAAGAAGAAGAAGAAGAAGAAGAAGAAGAAGAUGAGGAAGAUGAGGAAAGUAGAGAAGAGGAAGAAGAGGAGGAAGAAGAAGAUGAUGAGGAAGAUGAGGAAGGGGAAGGGGAAGAAUAUGAAGUAUAUGAAGAAGAAUAUGAAGAAUAUGAAGAAGAGAUUAACUUUCCACCCUCAAAAAAACGAAGUUGAUAUUAAGAUUUCUGUAAAAGCAUUAGAUGUGUUGCUCCAACUACUAAUGCUACUUAAAUUUUGGAGCCUGGGAAGAAAUGAUUUUCUAUUUCACCUCCUAACAUUGGAGGUGAUUAAUGCUCCAUGAAAUAGAGAAGUGUCAACAUUACAGUGAUCUCAGGAUAUGCAGGAUUUGUAAGAUCUGUCUACUGCCGUCGGAGUUCCGAACUUACCUAGGCGAUUCUUUGCACUAAUGUAAAGAACAACCGCAAUUGGCUUUGACACGAGGCGAUUUUAACGUAGUUUGAGAGACUACUGCAUCAUGAAACUUAUGGCAAGAUUUUGCCGCCGUUAAUUUUGUAUGAUUUCGAAACUUUUAGGUUGUUUUCCCCCUGCUGUUGUAAGUUUGAGUCAGAUAAAAAGUUGAUUAAGUGUGAACUGCACAUAAUUGAUAAGCCCACUUAAAAGGGAUUUCGGUUGAAUUUUUAUCACAGCGAGUAACCGAAACAAGGACAUGAAAUGACAAAUGAUGUUAUUUGUGUUGUUUUAGUCUUUAUGAGUUACAUUUCUCAAAAUCAACCACUUGUUCUUAAUAUAUCAUGUUUAAGGAGAGGUUCGCCGCUGAGCAGAAAAGAUAAAGUUAGGGGCUCUGGCCAUGCCGAACGCCACUUCCGUUCACCGUGCCAAAUCCAGUGCAGUGGAAAGUUCAGCUAGCAGAAAAAUUUAAAACUUCAAUUACGGCGAAAAGCGUGAAUAAGAUCCUAUCUUCAAAUUUGAGUUGUAUCGAGAUAUUUAAUGAAAAGUUACUCGUGUUAGAUUGUUUUGAUAUUGUAAUAAAUAAGAUUGCAUCAAUGCGAAAUAAUUUGUUUAUGUAUAUGAAAAUAAUUUGGAAGGUAUUCCAAAUUUGCAAUUCCAUAAAAUAUAGGGGAAAAAAGCUAGCUUUUGCAAUGGUGUAAAAAAUUAUAAUACGUUAUCCAAACAGUACAAAUCAGACUAAAAUAUUCUGGAGAAUUCAACUAAUCUAUUACAACGGAAAUAUAAAACAUUCUGGAGUAUUCAACCAAUCUGUGAACCAAACGAAUAAAACAUUUCGCUCUGUACACUACAGAAUUGUUGUGUAAUACUCGCAAAUAACUAUCCUAUCAAACCAUUUUCCGUCAAACAUUAAUCAUACUACUAAACUGCCGACAUAGACAUUGCCUACUCAAAAUAUCAUUCAAAAAGUAUACCAUAUCAAAUCAAAAAGUUUAAAAACAUACAGAUUUGAUCAAAACUAUGAACUGCUUUAAACCAGUUAUCCAACCUUUCACAAUUUUAAUUCUACUACCCAACUAGUCAAUUUACCUGAUUUGAGUUAGUCAAUAAUUUUUUAACUUCAAAAUUUAAGCUAAUUAUUUAUUUCAAUAAAUUUAUAAUGACAAGAAUUGCAUAAAAUAUACUAAUUAAAUCUAUAAAAAUAAAAGACACAUUCAAAUUUUAAAGCAACGUAUUAUUGACUAAAAUCAAACAAAUUAAAAGGUUGGGUAGCAAAAUCAAAUUUUUCAAAAUUUUGGUAGUCAAUUCAAAAUGGUCCAUAGUUCAGCUAAAUUCUGUACGUUUUUCGAAUAAAAAACAACAAAACUUAUGACUUCAAAACAACAUAGCCUAACUCAUUACUACUAAUUGCAUGGCACAUAAAUAAAGUUAAAAAUGCUACUUAAUUGGGCAUAAUGAAGAUUCCGGAUAAUAUUACCAUAAAUUACAACAGAGAUAGAUGAAACUAGCUGAGUUACUUUCAUUAUUAAUUCGCAGCGCUGUAAGCAACAUCAGCUGAAGAAGUGUCCAUGUCAUUCAAGCCUAGCUCUUCAUUCUGCUCCCAACUCCUCUCAUACUCCUCACCUGAGAAUUACCAAAAUCACGUCAAAAACAUUUGCAAGAACACCAUCAGAAGCACCAAUAACAUGCGCUGCUUUUCGCAGCAGAAUAGAAAGCUUAGUUCCUCUCUAGUUGAGAAGCAUAAAAACUGAAGAAGAAUAAAAACAGCAAAGAUAUGCCCAAGUAGUAAUUGCUACUCUUUAAGAUUCUAUUGUAAGUGUUCAAGAUUUAGGUAAUGUUUGGUUCUAGGAUUCCUAUCCAGAGAGAAGUAGAUAAAUGUCCUACAUGAGAAUUCCAGAUCAAGGUGUUGGUGGAUAGUAAAGUUUGCUAAAAUAAUAGAAUACUUAUUGAGGAUAGCAUUUCCACCCUACCUCAUGAAACUGCUAUGCCUAGGGAUUGACAUUUUAUCGAAAACUAGGGUACUUACCGCUACCCUAUUUUAUCAAAACUAUGAACUAUUUUAAACCAGUUAUCCAACCUUUCACAAUUUUAAUUCUACUACCCAACUAUUUUAUGAAUUGACAUUUUAUUGAAAACUAGGGUACUUACCGCUACCCCAACUCUCAAUCUGACACUAUCUAACACUCAUUAGGCAUCCUUAAUGGUUGUUGGGCUCAUGUAUUUUUAGAGUAUUUCUUUAGGUGAAUAUCUAAAAACCUUCCUAAACUGCAAUAUUUAAAGACCUUACUAAACUGCAAUUUGUAAUGGCUGAAACCUUUUACGCAACUACCUAACCAUUCAUUUAAUUUUAGCCAAUUCCAUCAAAAUUUGUAAGUAAUUAGUGGCAUGGCCCAAAAAAGUAAUCCACAUUCUGUUACGGGAAUAUUCCGCUAAAUUACAGGAUAUUUCAUUAAAAGAAGUUGAAAAUACGUUCAAAUUCUAAUCAGAGAUGUUGUUAAAUCAAACCAACUGAAAGAUUACGCACUGAAAUCAAUUUUUCAAACUUCAGGUAGUCAUUUCGAUACACACUAUAAUUCAGGGAAGUUUUUUUUUUUGUUCUUUAACUUUACUUUGACCUUGUUAAAAACAAAUGAGAAGGAGUGGCAAACUUACUUCUUAACUGAGUAUCAUCUUCUAUGGCAUCUGUAGCCGGAGAAAUAAAUGAACCCGCCAAUGGAUCAUCAAUAAUCAAAGUCCAAGGCUCUUCCAGGCUUAAGAGCUGUGUAACAUAAAAUGUCAAUUCACAGGAAAAUAAUAAAAAGUGGGCAGUACUAUUCUAGUCAGGAUCAAAAUCUCUAAGCAGAAGAAAUAUGGAAAAUUAACUAAGGGAUAUCAAUGACUUAAAUGCUGUUGGAUGUGAAACCUUAUCGACACCAGCUCCCCAUAACCAAUCUACUAUUACCGGGCUUACUUAUAUAGUAGUUACUGCUUCAGAAAAUUCCCCAACUCCCGAAAAUGCUUAAGAAAUCAAUAAAUUCAAAUUUAACCAAUAAUUAAUUAAACUAUUAAAGUGAGCAAUCAGUUGUUUAAGUUUUUAACGUGGCAUUGCACAGAGAUAUGGGUCAAACAUACCUUAGUUAGCCUCAAUUUAAAGUCCUCCCAUUUUAGCCGUUUCCAGUCAUCAGUACUAUCACCCAAGCUAAAUCCAUGUACUCUCUCCAAACCUGCAAUAUAAUAUAGAAUAUACAAUUUUCUACAGCACUAGAUGAACGGCAAAUAUUAUACAUUCUAUCUGAAGAAAUAUAAUGUUGUGCAACAAACAAGAAAGUUUACAUAGAAAAGAAGAGGUACACUUACUUUCACUAAUUUUAGCAAUCAAACCUUCAACCGUCGUGACAAGCCCACCUAAUGUGCCACUUGCAAGCUCCAAGUCAAGCUCAGGAACUUUUACACCUGCAGAAUCUGACUGCAAAGAGCAACAGCAAUGGCAAAAACAGAAGCAAUUAACUACCUGUCAGCUGAAGCUUUUGAAUUCAUCUAAGUGAGAAUCACUUAGGCUGUUAAAACUAAUAUAAAAAAACUAAUGAAAAAUGUUUAGAAGAAAAGAUCUUUGCACACACAAAUUCAAAUAAAUUUAACUAUAGCUUGAACUUAGGGCAUAGAAUUGAAGAAGGAAGCUUAGAGUUGUACAGAAGUAGGAUAAUGCACAAAAAAAGGAAUUCAAAAGUCAAGCAACAAGCCAUGGUUAAAGGGGCUUGAUAAGAUAAUAUCAAUUGCAUCCAGCCAUUGAGCUGUUACAAGUACAGACGAAUGAAAUAAGAAAUAGAUAUAGUUGAGAUUGUUAAGUCUCCAAUUCAUAUCUGAAUAGAUAUCAUGUCAGAAGGGAGAACAAACCUUUAUAACAUCCCGGGUAAGGUCUUUGACAUUCUUCACAUAUAAAGUGAUCUUUUUCCCUCUCUUAGAAAUUUCACCACCAGGCUUUAACUGUUCAUAGAAAGACACGGAAGGGGGGGAGAAGGAAAUCGAGAGCAGUAAUUCCAAGUUCUUAAAGUUGGAUACACGACCACAGGAUAUCAUUAGUAGGAUACUCUGAAAAGGUUGGAAUUUUAACAAACCUCAGCACUGCGGUAGCCGCAUAUAUCACAAGUUGUUGCCAUAACAAUCACCUCCCGAAAAUAUGGAAUUUCUAGUGGCGGUUAAGGCUCCGAAGACCGUAACAACCAUCAAACCAAGAUGAAAGCCUGUGGUCUAUAAUAAAUGUUUGUACAGACCAAUAAAUUCAAAACCUCAGCACUUGGCUGACAGAGACAACAAAGGGAAUAAUAUGUAUGUCAGCAGCAUAUUUAAAUAAAGGUCCAUUCAACAGACACAACCUCUAGAGUAGAGUCUUUUAUCUUUAUACCACAUAUGUGAAUUUAGAAACUAAAUAGAUACACAGUAACAAGAUGCAUUUACCAAGGAAAAUUAGAACCAAAUAGCAAGACAAAACAUCUAGCCAAUACAAAAUUUUAUACACAGUGAAACCUGAUAAACUCGAGGCUAAAACAGGAUACUUGUAGCAUAAAAGCGUGUAACACAUGCAGUUCCACAAGCUCCACAAGUUGAUGGCAAAGUGUCAACCUAUGCAUUAGAAAACAGAAAAAAGUGUAAAUGCGAAAACAACUGAAGAUCUCCUUGUGCACCUAAGGAGCACAAAUUCCAUACCUCCUCUGGCGCCGAAUAUCUACAUAAGGCGGCAGCAACUUCUUCAGGGUUGCCCUGAGCGAUUGCACGACGACCAGCAACAGCUCCAACUAAGCCAUGAGGCACUACUACGAUAUUAUUAUUUGCUGAAGCACCAUCAUCAGCAUGACCAGAUUCGUCGGUUGCAUUUGGUUCAACAAGAAAACCAAGGGACGCUUGUUGCUCGCGUGUUCUCUCGUAGAACCUAAUAGACAGCAAUGGGUCCGAUGAAGGUGCAAGCCUGUAAGAUAAAAAUUAAUCAAUGAAUCAGAAAUAACCAAAUAGAUUAGAAGUUCUAAUUUUCAGGAAAAAGGUGUGUAUCUACAUAUCAACCUGUCAAGCAUAAAACAAACCAAGAACAAAAUUAUUCUUACGGGUUCUCUAUAAAACUGUUUCCAGAAGGAUCGUCAAGAAUGAAUGUAAAAGCGGCAUUUCCUGACGCAAGAGCUCUCAGUUUUACCAAAAACUUGUCAAUAGCUUCGGCCUUCUCAGGAUCAACUUUCUGCAAAGUCAUAUGAUUAACUCUACGUGUCAUGAAGGCAGAGCAAACGAAACUGGAAAAACAAAACCUAGUGGUUCCUGAUUGCACCUUUCGUUCAUCUUGAAGGGCUUGCAACUCAUCCGCAGCACGUACAAGAAUCCCUUCCACCUACAGUGUGGUAAUAAAAAGCUCAGCAAAGCGUUAAAAGAUAUGUAUAUAUAACAAAUUAUAUCAUUUAAAGCCUAAAGCUCCAUAUAAUUUCCACUUAAUGAACAUAAGCAACAACUUUAGUAAGUGCUAAGCUUGUCUAUGUCACAGGAUAAAUUGUUUCCCAAGUAAAAUGCUUAAUAGCCAAGGACCGGCUCAGCUAAUUUUGUGGUAAUUUCAUGCUUAAACAAACUUAGUUGAUUUGAUUGAAGAGCAUUAUAAAUGACGAAACUAUUGGGUUACACUUUGAACUAAUCUAUGACGUGAACUAUCCUCUUACGAGAAUACAGCAACAAUUAGGUGAAAUCAGGGCAGAGCCCCAUAUUUUUAACGAUAAACUAGACGAGAUAAACUCUCUUAAUUUUGCAGCAACUUACUAAAUGUCAAAGUAAUGGAAUUGCAGCAUGUCAAAAGUUCUAAUAGAUAAAGGCUCAGCAUGCAACAAAUUGAAAAAUAAACAUGGCACAGAAAAGCAGAUAGCUUUACAAACUAAUCUGCUACCAGUCAAACAACCAAUUUUAUCAAGUAAAUACUUUUCAAAAAAAAAAACAUUUCAUAGAAAAAAGUCAUAGGGGCGUUCGUGUUGCAAACCUACACAUUGAAAGUGAAAAUAAUUACCGUAGAAAGUGUCCCACGUUGAGCCUCCGGAGGAAUCUCAAAAUCCAAUUGUGGAAUCUGCAAAAACAAUUUUCCAUCUUAUGUUUCUAUUAUAAAUACAUUUCUAACAAUCUCAAUCAAAGGGAAUGGUGUUGCUUCUUAAUCAAAAUCAAAAGGUGUGAAGUAUCUAUAACUAGAAAAUUCAACCAUUGCACUAGUACCUAACUUCAAAAGAAUGGCUAUUAGAAGACAGAACUGUACCUUAAUAGUUGCAGAAUCAGAUUUGACAACUUGACGAUUUAGUAUCUGCAGCGACAUCAGUCAUUAGCAGCUCAACAAACACAUUCAAUGCAUAAUAUAGUCUACCAAUACGACAGAUAUAACCAUACGAAUCCAUCUAAAAUGCAUAUCAUGCGCUCAUGGAAAAGCAGAAUCCCAUGACAAAAGAUUACUCUAUCAAAUUGUCUGACUUUAGAACUAUACAUUAUUAGAACUUCAUCUUAGAAAAUUCAAAAUACGAACAAGAAAACAGACGUUGCCAUAACUUGAAGCAAUCAUCCCUAUGUGAGAUUGACGAGGCAUCCAAAAUUUUAAAAUUUCUAUUCACAAUGCGAGAAUACCUCACUUCGUCCCAACGGGACCUCCAAACGGUAGCAACAUCCUUUGGGCUGUAACUGACCAGCAAACUGAACCUCGUUGUUCCUAAUAAAUGAAAGCAGUAACAUUUAAUGGAGAAUAAAAAACGGAGACUACUAGGAGAAAAGGAACACCAAUUAACAAGUAAUGAAAAAUAAUAGUAAUAAUGAUUCGAACUUGCCACCUAACAAUUAAUAUUGUUGACACUAAAUUCGGGGUAUAGACAAGGCGAAGUACCUCUCAUUGCAGUGGGGGCAUUCAAAGGCCAUCAAAACAAUCUAAACAAGUCACAAAACAACACAAACAUAAACCACCAAUCUAACAUUCAUAGAAGGGUAAAGGCUCAUAAUUAGUAAUUAAUACCUCCCUAAAGUGCGGAAUCCGCGUCAAGAGAAGCCUCGUUGCGCCCUGAAACCAAUACAAACAACGAAAGGAGCUGUAUAAAGGAUCAAACGGAAGAGAAUUUGAGAGGAUUUAAGAGAGAAACACCAUUAGAAUCGAGUAGAACGAAGAGAGGAUUUUAAGGACAUUACAUUCUCGCCACACCGCAUGCAAAGGGACUCGAUCUCGUUGAGCGGCGCCACUGCGGCAUCGGCCUCCUCCGCCGCGGAUCGGAGAUCCACCACCGCGCCACCGUUCUCCAUCGCCUUCCUCUUCUUCCUCUUCCUCUUCCUCUUCCUCUUCCUCUUCUUCUACUACAACCACCACCACCACCACUUACUAUGAGCUCCGGAUGCGCUCUCUCCUACGCGGCGAAUGAACCUAGAGGUUUCUACUUUCUACAAUCUACACGGAGGAGGAAGAAGAAGGCUCUGGAAGUGAAACGAAGCGCGCCGCGAAUCCGCUCCGAUUUGUGAAGAAACUCCGCGCGGGGUCGAGGGUUUCAACUCGGGCUUCGGCAAAAUACUCUGCACGGGCGAGGCACCCGCGCGUUAAUAAUUGGGCUUCGUAGGAUUGGCCCUUUGUGAAGAUAGUGCACAAAAAAAAGUAGCCUUGGGCCCGAGGUUUCCUAAUUUUAGGCCCAUUUUGGCCCACAAAAGAGUAUCAACGGAGUGCCCAACGGAAACUCGUUUCCCGCUGUUGCCAGUGGUUUCCAAUUUACGCUAAAACGGUAAAACCCUAAACCCGCUCGUCCCCACCCCACUCCCACAUCCAUCUCCACAGUCCACACACGCAUCUCCCUCGCCGAAGCCCUAACCCUAAUCCCAUCCAACAACAAUGCAGGCGACGGCCUCCGCCCACCUCCACCGUGACCACCACCUCUUCUCCUCCUCAUUCCUCCUACGCAGUCCCAAGCCGCGCCGCCCCCCCGCCACCGCGGUGCGCAUGAGCCUCCGCGAGGACGGGCCCUCCGUGGCGGUGGUGGGCGUCACCGGCGCCGUGGGCCAGGAGUUCCUCAGCGUCCUCUCCGAUCGCGACUUCCCCUACCGCAGCAUCAAGAUGCUCGCGAGCCGCCGCUCCGCGGGGAAGAAGCUCUCCUUCGAGGAUCGGGAGUACGUGGUGGAGGAGCUCCGCCCCGAGAGCUUCGAUGGCGUCGACAUCGCCCUCUUCAGCGCCGGGGGCUCCAUCAGCAAGGACAUGGCGCCCGCCGCAGUCGAGAGGGGGGCGAUCGUCGUCGACAACAGCUCGGCGUUCCGCAUGGUUCCCGAGGUCCCUCUGGUUAUACCGGAAGUGAAUCCCGAGGCGAUGGCGCAUAUUAGGCUCAAGGGGAGGUCGGGGAAGGGGGCGCUCAUCGCCAACCCCAAUUGCUCCACCAUUAUCUGCUUGAUGGCCGCCACACCGCUGCAUCGCCAUGCAAAGGUCCCGCCUUUUGUCUAAAAAACAGAUUUUGAAUUUACAGUGAAAUUACAGCAAGUUAUUCUCUUCCGAAUUAGAUUCAGAGUGAUUAAUAUUCAUGGGUUACAAUCUCCUAAAUAUGGAGUUUUCUUCUAUGUAAACUGGAAGGUAGUAUGAACACUAUUAGAUAGAAGCUUACACCAUUUUAUUAUCCUAUUUUUAGUGUGCUUCUCACCUUAGUAAAAUUACUAUUUUUAGUGACUACUAUGUCUUCCUAUCAACAUUUCCAUAGUUAUCAGCUUAUCAUCUUUACAUGGUUCUUCCUCUAAUUCUUUGGCCAAGCAACAUUGAAAUCUAAACUCGCAGAGAAAACUUGUUGGUAGAAUAUGGUUAGUUUAUUCCUGCUCCAGUCACUUUUAGGAUUGUUAUUUUUAUUUGGUUAAAUCUGAAUUCUUCCUUUUGUCUUGCUUGGUUUCCACCAAUUACGAGUUAUCUACUAAAUAAUCAUGUCUGUUAGCACGAUACACAUUCUUGCCAUUCUUACCAAGUAUUUCAUUAACUUAAAUUGAGUCGCCUGGAAUAUUCCUUCUGCCAAUCCGGCAGGCUCAUCCCUUUUUACGCUUUUUGCCCAGUGUCGAUAGAAUGUUUAAUGUAGAACUUUCGCUUCACCUGUGAGCUUGACUUUAUGCUCCUCGCAGGUGGUGAGAAUGGUUGUUAGUACCUAUCAAGCAGCGAGUGGUGCUGGUGCUGCAGCAAUGGAAGAGCUCGAGCUACAGACCCGUGAGGUAGUGUAUUUAUUCUAUCUUAUUUCUCUAUGCUUGAGGUUUCCCUGGACUAAACAGCUUUUCGAUUGAUACUCUUGUGUUCUCUCUUGAAUAGGUCUUGGAUGGCAAGCAACCAACUUGUAAAAUCUUUAGGCAACAGGUUCUUCUUUCAUAUCUGUGUUGCCUUGGUUGAACAGUUUAUCCAUUUUUCUAUUGACACCAAACUUGAGUGGCUAAUCUCUAUUUAUGCAGUAUGCUUUCAACCUGUUCUCACAUAAUGCACCAGUUCAAGCAAAUGGGUAUAAUGAGGAAGAGAUGAAAUUGGUGAAGGAGACUAGGAAAAUCUGGGUAACUAUUUCUGAAAAAUUUUGUAUUUGCAGGCUGUUAUUACAGGGUAAUAAAAUUCCUAGAAAGUUUGGAAAAGAUGACUCUUAGGAUUGUUUCUGUGUAUUUAUAUAUCCGUAUAGAUGCAUUACAUUGGACCCUCUAGUAUUCUUUGAAGAUGGAUGUCGACAUACUUGUUACCUUGAAUCAUAACUUUUGUAGAAUGACACGGAUGUCAAGGUGACUGCAACUUGUAUACGGGUACCUGUAAUGCGUGCCCAUGCGGAGAGUGUGAAUCUUCAAUUUGAGAAGCCGCUUGAUGAGGUUAGUAUAGAAACUUCGUCUGUUCUUAGAUUUGAAUAAAUUCAGCGAUUAGUAAAAGUUUCAUGCCAUGCAUUCGACAAUAAUUGAGCUGAAAGUUUUAUGUUUUCGUAUGCAAGCAUGUAGCUUCAUUUUUAUGAUUCAUCAAUACAGGUCUAAAGUGACUUAAAUAUGCUUUUCUGCCAUUCAUUUGUAUGAUUUAUAUUUCGUUUGGUCUCCAUCAUUUCUCAUCAGCUGUUAUUAGCCUUUCAAACCACAAAAAUAGUUAUUGGAUCGUGCAUCAAAAGAAAAUAUAUCAAACUGAUGGCAUGUGAUUCUAUGGUAGUGUUAUGAUAUAUAUUUAUAAUUUCAAGAGCUUUACCCCUAAAAUUACGCUGGUGCUUAGAAGCGCUAAUUAUUGUUGUUUCAAGUUACUUUAUCUCUGUGGGUUUAUCACCAUUUUGUUUAGCUCCAUCGUGUCCUUUGUCAUGGCAUCCUUGGCAUGCUGCACGGUCAAUGGCAGAACUAAUGUUUCUACUCUAAAUAUACUUGGCUUAUGGCCUAAUUGCACUUUUUCAGUCCAAUAAUACCCCCUAAAGGAAUGAAUUGUGCCUUUUACUCAUCAGAUCUGCACUUGAGAAUCGUGCUCUUUUGUACUUUUUUGGACGAGGUUUUGGUUCUUGCUUGCAUUUAUGUGCUACUUCAUUUCCUUAAUUUUUUUUCUUUACUUUAAAACGAUACUCUUACAUAUUUAAAUUGUUAAUAUAUUCACUUCCUUAUUGUGAAGGAUACUGCAAGGCAGAUAUUGAAGGAAGCUGCUGGCGUGGUAGUCAUUGACGAUCGUGCAUCUAAUCACUUUCCUACACCUUUGGAGGUUAUCUUGUUAACAAUCAUUCUUUAAAUUUUGCGGUAGAUGCUUGUUUCGCCUGGCUUUUGAACAAAUUCUCUUCACUAGUAGAAGCCAGACAUUAGGUAGAUCUAGAUCUAGCUAACACUGUAAUAAGCAGAAAAUAGUUUCUUAAGCCCGAAAGCCACUUGUUUCUAGCUUAAGUAUAAAGUUGUGGGAUUAUAAUCUGAAGCUAUUAGGGGUUUCUGCAUACUCAAAUAACCCUCUGCAAAUGCUUCAUACGGGCCAAAUAGGUCCCAAGCAUCUUUAGUCAGGAAAAGGAUAACCAUCACCACACAAACAAGGAUGACGUAGCAAAAACAUCGUAAGUGAGGAGAUAAUUUCUUUGCAUGCAGGUAUCAAACAAGGACGAUGUAGCAGUCGGCAGGAUACGCCAAGACUUUUCUCAAGAUGGCAACCUUGGGUAAGUAUUUUCCGAAUUGUCAAUUUUAAACCAUCACAACUGCUUGUUUAUUUGGUUUCUUAGGUUAAAGCUAGGCACUUUUUUGUUAUUAUUUCUUAACGGAGGGGGUGCUAACUUUGUGAGGAAACAUAAUUGCCACAGGUUGGACAUCUUUGUCUGUGGAGAUCAGAUACGCAAAGGUGCUGCACUCAAUGCGAUACAGAUUGCUGAAUUGUUGCUUCAAUAGCCAUCGUCUAUCCACUUCUGUGUGAUUGUGCAUUGUUUUUUGGUUUCCAUUUUUGAGAUAGAGGCAAAAUUUGGGUUCGGGUGUGGUUUAAUCUUGUAUCAUGCAAUCAUCUAGCGGGAGUUAGCAAAUUUUGAUGGAAUACUUCAUAAUUUGUUGGGUUGAUAAGUAAAUUAUCUGUACUGUACUACUGUUAGAUUAAAAGAUAACUGAUUUUAUUUAUAAAUUGCCUCCGAGCACGAAGCUCUGGCACUAUUGCAUUCAUUCGCCAGGAUGGUUGAUUGCAGUGUAACACACAAGAAAGCCUUGCCUUGUUCACUUAUUAUUAAUUAGUUUCUCUGCUUCAAAAAAUAAAAACAAAGUAGUGAGGCUUUGCUAUACUGAAAUGCUGAUACCCUGAUAUGAGUCAGUUUCAUUUUUCCUGCAGUGGGUGGUUGGUGCAAGUAUUUAUUGCUGAUGCUUUUCUAAGCAGUUAAAUGUAUUUAUGAAGAUGCUCCAGCAGGUUUCUGAAUAGUAUCCUCAAGGUCAAAAGGUAGAGGCAGUAAAAGUAAAGAUUGUAACUCGAAUUACAGUACAUAAACUAAAGAGAGUGGUGCUUUUCUCUUCAUUAGUGCAGAACCGAAAGUGGAAAUGCACAGUGGAGUCAUCCAAGCAAGAGCACAUGUGACAUGAUCUCUGCAUCUUCUGCAUUUGAAAUUAGAGGUGCGAGUAAAAGAGCCAAAUGAUGAAGCUCGCAUGGAGCCUUUUUCUUAGUGCUACAGCUGUUCAUUCAUGAGCAUGCAUUUAUUUUUACUCUCUUCGACUGCUACAUUAUGUUGGUCCGUAUACGAUCGUUGCUAUUCAUAGCUUUCAAACGAACUGUACGUAAGCUUCUGUACGCGAAGCUGCAGAAAAGUUCUAGAAGGUCUGAGAAAUUGAAGUUGCCAGCUAGCUAGAAAUGAAUUUUCUAGUCAGAACCCUUUACAUUUUUUUCUUUUUCUUUUUCAAUUCAAUUUAAAUUAAUCUUUUCCAAUUAAUGUGUCGAAAUAUAUAACUUAGCUGUAAAAAGUUUAGAUUAAUUAGCCGCAGGAUAGCGUUCAACCAUUUCGCUCAGAGCUUCGUUUACAAAAAAAAAUAAAAAAUAAAAAAUAAAAAAAUGGAGUACUGGGAAAAGAAUAGAGUGACACGUGGCAAGGAUCAAAGGGCGCUUCUCCCUCUCGAAGGACUUUAAUUAAUUUUGCUAUUAAAUAUACAAAAAUAUUUGUAAAGGCAAACAUGAAGUAAAUUGAUCACCCUGGUUCUUUAAAGCUAACGCUGCACAAACUAUUUUCGAAAAGAUUACACUGAAAAAAUGAAGCUUACAAAUUUAACCAUGUGAAAAUUCAAAUUAAGACCAUUUUGAAUUACAAUAGGAAGCAGAUAAAUUGUGCAAAAUGCUACUUAAUUAAUAGAUGAAACGAACAUAAAUAAAUUACAUAUUACAAUACACCAUCCCCACGCAUAUUUCGCUCCCACAAACACGCAAAACCAGUAACACUCACCUCUCUCAACCUAUAAUACAUACCAUUAUUGAAAAACCAUGCAUGCAAAAUGCGCGCGUACGUACGUUUAUUUGGAUCACAAGAUAUAUAAAUACAACUAUUUACUGCGUACAUAGAUAAAAUCGCGAAUUCAUUCAUAUAUAUGUAUAUAAUGGUUCUAAGAUGCUGAUUAUUCAGGGGCACUUGGACCUGCGGCGGAGGCCGGUGCCGGUGUACUUGUCGCGGUAGCAGGGGCACUCGUCUUUGUUGCCGUACGUCCCCGACGGCACGCAAUUGCACUCGGCGCAGCACAGCCCGCAGUACCUCAGGCACCGAUCCUGCACGCUCGCCUUCGAGCACCUCACCUUGCACUUGCCGUCGCAAAAUGCUACACCAUGCAUCCAACAAAACAUAUAAGGUAAACUUCAUAUACCGUUCCUAUAAUUUCGCAUUUUCUCACUUUAAUAUUCUGUAAUUUAAAGUGUAUGAAUUUAGUCCUGUAGUUUUAUUUUUAUCUUUUCGUCAGUUUUUUCAUUAAUAUUUUGUUAAAUUAUAUACAAAAAACUUCAGAUACUCCACCUAGAUUCAUUGAAUAUUCACUUUAGUACCCUUUAGUUUUAACUUUGUCAUCAAUUUAACGAAAAAAAUUAGUAAAAUCGAUAAUAAAAAGAUAAAAAUAAAAUCACAUGAUACUAAAUUGAUACAAUUUAAACUAUAGAGUAUUAAAGUAAGAAAGUGUGAAACCAUAAGGACGGUAUUUUGAAGUUUUUCUAAAUAUAUAUAUAUAGGGCUUAGUUCAAGAGUGUGUGUGUAUAUAUAUAAACCAAAAUAAUUGUCGUGUCUGUUUAGCCUUAUUUUUACUUUUCAUCUUAGAAGUAAGUACAUGUAAUAAAUAAUAACUCUAGAUCUUCUGUUGUGACUUGUGAGUAGCAGUAAGGAAAAGGGAAAGUAAUUUUGAAAUCUGAAAGUAGAAACUCUGAAGUAGAUUCUCUCAAAAUUACUUCAUGCAUCAACAAUACUACAAUCUAUAUAUUAUAGAACCAAACAGCCCCAAGACUAUUUUAGGUAAAGUGUACCCUAACUUUUUGAAACAACUCUCUAUUUUUACCAUAAAAACAAGAGCAAAAUCAAAAGAACACAAAUUUCAAGCUUUUGCUUUUAGUGCAUGAAGAAACAAGAUUAUAAAAAUAAAUAUUAGUGCUUCUUCGAACAGCACACACUAUGAGUCAUUUUACAUGCAAGUGAAAUUGGCAUCUCUACCUGAGCCAGCCAUGGAGGUUUGGAGGUAAGAUGAGGCCAACAGUAGGAGGAGGAGGAGAAAAGCCAAGGUGGUGGUGGUGGUGAUGUAAAGGGGCUUCAUCUUCUCUGUUGCCAACUUUGUGUUAUGUGUAGCUCUUUUAGUGUAGUGAUGUGUGUUUUUUGGAGUGGGUGGGGUGGGGGUUAUUUAUAGGGGAGAGGAAUGAGACUUGUUAGGAGAGGUUUGGUUUGGUGAGGAGACUAAUAGUUAGUAAUGGAAGGACUAUAAUGAACCCCAUGACUCACAUGAGCUGGCAUCCAUAAGGGCACAAGAAACCUUUUUUGGAAUUAAUAGAUGAGAUGGGGCCAUGAUGUUAUUGCAGGUGUAUAUAUGGCACCACCACCGGUAUGGGGGUACUGGUGAAUUACAAGUUUAAACCUGGUUCACCACAUCAUAUGUCGACCUUUUUUUUUUUUUUUUUUUUCUCGCGUACUUUAAUCUUUGGCAUUCGAUAACUUAUACUUUAAUCUAAAUUAUUUAGUACUAUUUGUUUCUAGAAUGAUGGGAAUCAAAAUAAUGCUAGAGCGAUUUGAAUAGGGGUGACUCUUAUUAUUCAUAAUAUGAGCAAUUUAAAAUCUGUGGUUAGAAAAAGUUUUAAAAAUUUUAUAUACCAUAUCAUUAAAUAAUAAAAUGAAUACUGACUCACUCAGCUUAUAUAUAUAUCUAAUCGACGCACAAUAGCAUAUUAUUUUUCCAAUCAAAUUCUUCUGAGUUGUUUGUUUGGAAAAGUUUUCUUUUUUUUUUUUGCAUAUAUUUUUUGAGCAUAUAGUGAUGUGUGAAAAAUGACUUAGGCCGGUUCACGGCUGACGUGGUGGACAACAUCCAUGCAAAAUUUAGUCCUUAGGGGGGGCAAGGGAACGGGCCGGUGCAUGAAAUGAAAGCAGUGGUGAAAUGUACUGCGUCCAACAUCGCUUUGCUUGCAAUAUUAAUUCCUCCUUGGAAAGCGUUAUUCAUUGCGUGCCCGAGAAUUUAGCCUUUUUAUUUUUUUUCUUUUUUCUUAAAAAAAAAAAAAAACUCACAAACAGGUUGAGAGUUGGUGGUGGUGCACGUGCGAGGAUCUGCUUUCGCGAUCAUGCGGUUUCUCCUCCGAAGAGAAAACUAAGGGCGAUAAUAAUAAUUUUUAACUAAAAUUUAUGUUUUAUACAAAAGUAUUUUUAUAUCUAAUUAAAGUUUUUUAUUAUCUCUUAUAUAUAUAGGACACAAUGGUAGGGUUUAGUCACCAUAGUUCUUUAAAGUGGGCAUGCCAUGCAUGCACGGGGGUGAAUUCCUAGUCCCAUGUGAAUGUGUCUCACCGCUUCGGAGUUAACAUUCCAUUUGAUGCGUUGUAGGUCAUUUUACUCUGCAACAGAUCGGUCUAUGUUUUGGCUUAUAGCGCUUGUUUGUUUGCUCUUGUUUGUUUUUUUCCCUUUUAUUUGAGAAGUUAAAGGGUGGUGUAUGAAGAUAUAGUUUUGAAAUUUUGAAAUUAAAAACAUUUUGGGUAGAAAAGGGUUUUUUUUAUUUAUUAUUGAGAGAUUGAGAUUGAUAAUAUGCUAUUCGUUUAGUUCUUUUUUUUUAAUAAUAAACUUAUUUUAAAAAUAUAAAAUAAUUAAUUUUUAAACUUUGAAAUUUCGAGUACCAACCAUCAAAUUAAUAAUUUUUCACCUGCGUUAGGAAUAGUCGAUUUAAUGUGGACUAGUUGGUAAUUCAAAAUAAGAUAAGAUACUUGCUACAAAAUAAGAGGUUUUGGAUCCAAUUCGAAAUCACACUACUCUAGGAUUUGAUGUUCCAGGGUUAGAGAGAGUCUAAGGACUACAUCAGAAAAGAAAAGAGAGUUUUCUACAUAAUUUUAUUUACUCAAUAAAUAACAAUUUACUUCACAAAAAUAAAGUCGCGUACAAAAUAUGAAAAAAUUAAUGUGAAAUAUUUUGCCUUGGAUAGAACUGUGCUGGGAACAAGUCGGGCCGUGGACCGAAAACAUAGCCAGAGUCGGCACAUUGUGACCUGAAUCUGUAUCCGUGCCGUGCCGUGCCGUGCCGUGCCGGGCAACCUCAGAGCACAACCAGGCCCAGAAAAAUGUGGAUCCAUCUUAUACCGGAGUUUCAAAUGGAUAUGUGGCCCAAAUUUGAAUUACUAAUGGGCCGGAUCCAUUAAGGCCAUCCCACCACAUGAAACUGUUCUUCCAAACGAUCUAACAAGCCCAUUUAUGUUACAACCCACAUGGGCUCGCCUCGGAGAUGGAGCCAUGCAUGGGCUCACGUGAUUUACGUUUUCUCUUGCUGAAAACGUGAUUUGCUCUUACACCAAUUGUUGGAAAGAGAGGAAUAUUAUAGUGAGUUAAACUAAAAAUUUUAUUAAAUAUUAUUAUACUAAAUUUCAGUGAUGGAUAAUUUUUCGAAUAAAUCAAAAUCUUAAUAGCAAUAAUUGAACAAGAUUUAAACUUACCUUCUAUGUCUGACUAACAAAAUAUUAAGAGAUAAAAUUGACAGAAAUAAAUCUAAACUUAUCAAAAAAAUUUGAGUUACUUAUUAACAUUUUUUUUUAAAUAUAUAAUGGUGAAAAGCGAAGCAGCAGCUGAAUUAAGCUCUAUAUCAGAGGUAGGAUCUAUAGUAUCAUACUUGCACGGUUGCACCAUAUUAUCAGUAACAAAUCAACUAUGUGUCUCUCAGUGAGAGAAAAAUAUAAAAAAAAUAUGAAAUUGGUGAACCUAAGGAGAACAAUCCUAUUAUCUACUACUACUACAGCCAUGCGUACGGACACCAUAUAUUGUCUACAUUUGUUCUUCGGGUUUAAGUAGCCCACAGGAUUUGUACCUCAAGACCACACUUUAUUGAAAGAGUACUAGCUAAAGAGUCCUACUUAAUUAUAUACUUUUAAAAAUACGAUAGCCUUUGUACUAUCAGAUCGUUAUUGGUAUUGAAACUUUCGAAUCGACAACCAGAUUCGUUAGAUUUGAUCUAAAAUAUUAAAAAUUUUUAAAAAAUAAAUUUUAUGUUUUUCCAAAAUUAUUUAUUAAAUGACCGAAAUGACUCAAAAUGAAAUAUAACGAUGUCAAUCGUUAAUUCGGAAGUUCGAGUUUCGAAAACGACUUGAUAUUAUGGAGGCCUUUGUGUUUCUUAAAAUACACAAGCCUAGCUCACUAGACAGCAUUCAAGAAGCUAAGGACUUUUCUUUUGUUGUUAUUGUUGUUAUUAAUUGUUUUUUUUUUUUUUUUUUUUGAGAGAGAUAGGUAGCACGCAAUUGUUGCUGUUGUUGUUGUUGUGAGGUACACAUUUGUGAGAUGCACACGGGGUUUCAAACCUUCAACCUUUAUUUUUUUUGCAUCAAUUUUAUGUAUAAAUACAUUUUAUAUACUGCAUCUAUAAAAUUUUAUAGCGAAAACUCAAAAUUAGAAUCCAAUUGGUUCUGAUGGAUCGAGCCCGACAAAGUCCAGUGUUUUCCUAAUCAUCUUAAUUAUAGUUUUUGAAUUUUUUUUAAAAAAUUGAUAGGAGAGAUAGGCUGUGAAUAAUUUCUUUACUCGAAGAAACAACAUCAAUGAUCGAUGCUUGAACUAUAUACAAACAUAUUCUAGUAAUCAUAUUAUCUCACUGAUCGUCCCUAGAGCAAGUGACAAAGGGUUUGAUAGUUAGUACUUAAGACCCAAAUUCGAAUCCUAGUUGAUUCGCAUUUUCAACUAAGUUUAUUUCUAAAUGGAAUAAACGAAGCGGGUAGCGUGUUACCUAUCUCUCUCUCUAAAAAAAAAAAAAAAGAAGUAAUCAUAUUAUCUCCUACGACUAAACUAAUUUUCACACUCAGAGAAGUAGAAAACAACUUUUAAAAUUUAUGCUUUUAUCAAAUUACUAAGAAAAAAGAUUUUACUUACCAAUAGAAAUUGAUUAACAGAAUUGAAUGAAACAGCACUUUUUAGAAAAGCUCUUGCCAAUUAAGCCCAACCCAACCCAGCAAACCUUACAAUAAUAUAAAGCGAUCACCAGUAAACAGUACUACUGCACUGUGAAUCUACUGUUAUGAAAGGCACUGAAUCUCCAAAAAGAAAAGUGGAAUCUCUAACAACAUCUCCCCUCCAAUAUUGCUUCCAACUCAAGCAUCAUAAAAGGUGAAAGCUAUAGAUGGAGAGAAAAGAUACACAUAGCAAACACUCUUUUAAUAACAACCAACAGGAGGGUAGUGUGAUUUAUGAACAAUGGUCCUCAGACACACAACCUCUCCCUAUCUCAUCUCUCCCCUUUACCUUUGCCCACCUUUCCCUUUUCUGGCACUGUCUCCUCGUGGCCGGAAUUCACACUAAACAGCGAGCGAGCUAUUACCUAAAAAAUUGAUAUUACAAUAAACUUGUUCAAAAGUUAUCGUAAUACUCUUAUUUAUGUGCGUGCGUGAUGAACAUAUAUUAAGUAAAUCAUGUCGUGUAUAUAUAUGCAUGCAUUAGGGAAAGAGAUAAUGCAUGGAAUAACACACUAGAUUCCGAAUUAGAACUGGCUCCCAUAUUAAAAUAUUUGAAGUUAAUUUUCACUUCAUAAAUUAUUCUAUUCACAGAGAGAGAGAGAGAGAGAGAGAGAGAUCUCCAAAUGCGUGGAAAAGGGUGCAACAGGGUGGUCUCAGCUCUCAAGGGGAAAAAAAGCUAACAGUGGGUAUCUGAUCCCCAACAGUAUACCAUAUGGUCAUGUAACAACUAACAAGUGGAAGUGCUUUAAAGGAGGACGCAUGGCCAUUAAUCCCUGGGCUCUUCCUUCCCUGCUGUAAUGUGCGGGAGGUGUUGAUAAGGAUCCCUAGAACUCUUUUGGGUUGGAUUCCCGAGGCCAAGAGAUCGAUUGGGAUAUAUACAUUGUUGAAACACCAAACAAAAUUAACUUAGGAUAAGAGGAAUUUGGUUACCACCACUGUAUGGCACAGUUAAUUGAUAUAUGUAUAUAUAGAGUUCGGCUAUUAUAUUCUUAUGAGUACGAUCAAUCUCGUAUUUAUAAGUCGUUUUCAACGAUAAAACUUAUGAAUCGACGAUCCAUAUCGUUAAAUAUUAUCUAGAGUAUUUAAAAUUUCUAAAAAUUAAAUUUUAUAAUUUUUCGACAUCAUUUAUCUUCUAUUAAUUUUUGUGAUUGUGAUUCAACUUCUCAUGUCAAUGGGAAAGCUGGUGUUGGUUACGAUCUACAGGCACUAAUUGGGAGGAUUAAGUUACUCUCCAUGCACUUAGGCCACGUGAAUAAAUAUCAAACUAUAGCUGUUUGGGUAGCUGAGGAGUGUAAAAUCUCGACUAAUUAAGCUUGAUUGUGUACGCAUGCUUUGGUUAUAUAUAUAUAUAUAUAGGGUCCGGCUACUAUACUAUUAUGAGUACGAUCGCCCUCGUACUCAUAAGUUGUUUUCGAUGAUAAAGCUUCCGAAUUGACGAUCCACACCGUUAAACGUUAUUUACAGCAUUUAAAACUUCUAGAAAUCAAAUUUUAUAAUUUUUUGACAUCAUUUACUUUACGAUCAAGAGGUCACAAAUUUGACAAUUUUUAACGGCCGGUAUGAGAUACUUGCUAGUUUAACGGUGUAAAAGAAUCGGAAGUUGUUGAAUUUUUGAUAGAAAAUUCUAUUCACUACAUAGAUAAAGAUCAAUAACUCCGAUCUUGAUUCGAAGGAUCCGAUCAUUCUUUUUUAGGACGUCGUUCGAUUUUGACCAUUCAUUUUAUGCCCACUUGAUGGACUUUAUUAUGAUUUUGAAAAUUUACGAAAUUUAUUUUCUAGAAAUUUCAAAUACUCUAGAUCAUAUUUAAUGGAGUGAAUCGUCGAUUCGGAAGCUCCAUCAUUGGAAACAACUUAUGAGUACGAGGGCUCCAAUACUCAUAAUAGUAUAGUAGCCAUGGCCAUAUAUAUAUAUAUAUAUAUAUAUAUAGAGAGAGAGAGAGAGAGAGAGAGAGAGAGAGAGAGAGAGAGAGAGAGAGAGAGAGAGAUAAAAUGUAUAGAAACCUCUCAAGUAUAGGCCAUUAAUUUGAGAUCAACUCAAAUGAUUUUGAUUGACAUUUUCUUAACUUUUGAAUAUUUACUUUGAGCUAUCUAAUUUAUCUAGUCAAUUCCUUUAAGUUUAAAUAUCUUUAUUAACUUUAACUAUUAAACAUUAAUUCCGUCCACUCACUUUCAUACCUAAUUCUGAAAUUUGGAAACAUAAAGUAUGAUUAUAAAGUUGAAAACUGCACCAUUCUGAAAUGACCAAUCGUGGAAGGGGCUCUACAGUUCACACAUGAUCCUUUUUCUUAAAAUAAAAAUAAAUCUAUAAUUAAAGAGGACCCGAAUAAAUUUAUUGUGCUCCGGGGAUCGCGCCGUGGUGCAGAGGGGAACGAGGCAAAUUAAGUUGGGCCCAAUCUCUUGACAAUGACCCUUGCAGGUCAAUGAUGGGUCCAAUUUGGUUCCGGUUAGGUGCGUGCAUGUGCAUUGGUCCACCAUGCAUAAAUCUAAGUUGAGCCACGUAGUCACACGUGCUCCGUGUAAAGUUAAGCAUUUACCUGUGAUUUUCGUCGCCCAAGUUAUUUAAUUUAAUGAUUAAGACACCUAAAUUUCUAAAACAUGCAUGGUUAUAAAAUUUGAGCGAGGCACUACAUAUAAUUGGCAUAAGAAGGACCAAAAGAGUAACCCCUAUGAACCAAAAUAAAAGAUAGCCAUUUAAAAAUAUCCAAUCAAAAUAUAUAAAUAUAUGUACAAUAUUGUUAAAUCAAUGUCUACACUUUUUAAUUAAUUAUGAACAUUUUGUACCAUAUCUUUUAGGUGGUAUAUAAAGACUAAUAGACGUAAAGUAGAAUAACUUAAUUAUACAAUAUAAUUAUAUGAGUGCGGGUGAAAAAUUAAAAGUUUAUUAAGUAUAUCAAUGAGUGACAAUAAAAAUGUAUUUUAAUUCAGCAGUACGUAUAAAAUAGAGAUGCACAAGACUAAGAACAACUUAUUGGUAUGUGUAUCAUUUUGAGUCAAAUAGCUAGGAUUGAGUUUUUGUUUAAACUUAAAAUUUGAAAUAAGAUACAAGUUAAAUUUAAUUUUGGCACAGUGAACAUAUUUUGCUUUUUAUAUCUAGUAUGUAUGCUUUAAACUGGGCACUCCACUCGAGAUAGUCUCAGCUACCACGGCUGAAAUUUGGCACGUAGAUAGAGGUCAACUGUAUGGUGCAGUAACCAAAGCUUAUCUUGACGUGCCAACUUAAAAAAAAAAAACAACAAUAACAAGAAAACACAAGAAGAAAUAGUUAAAAAAAAAUAGUACUAACAAAUUUGAUACUCUUAUAUUUUCAAUAAAUGAAUCAGGUAGCGUGUUACUUAUUCUCAAAAAAAAAAAAAAUUUAAUACUCUUUUUUAAUUACUAGAGCCAAAUUAUUAAAUAAUAUCUUCUCAAAUCUAGCUAGUUUAUUUGUCAAAACCAAAAUUGACUUUGUUUAUAAUGUUGCUCUUGUACACGUGGAUGUGCAUUAAUUCUACGAUAUGUGUGUCACACUUCAGCAUGAAUCUUGUGUACUCAAAAUUCUCAAAUUCAACUAAUUGCAUCCGUGUAGUUAUGUUCGUGUGCAAGGGCCAAAAAAAAAAAAAACACGAAGUUUUCAAAUCAAUUUCUGUAAAUUUUAAAGUCUCUCAAUAAAUUCUCAAGGGCAAAACUAUAGUAGAAAGAAAUUGGUAUUGUCUCAGGGACAAACCAAAAUAAUAGUCAGGAACAAAUUUAAAAGUUGAAAUAAAUUAUAUACUUAUAUAUAUUGCAUACUAACUUUUGAGCCGCAAAGAAGAUAUAUAUAAUCCGUAAAAUUAAUCAGCAAGAAACUAUUUUCACCAUCUUUCCUACUUAUAGCUUGUAAAAUAUCAGUUACUAUUUGACUUUGUACAAUUGUGUUUGGCAUGCCAUUAGUUUAAAUAAAUAAAAAAUAAAAUAAGUGCAUCAUUUUAUACCAUUUUAUACCAUCUUAAGAUUUUGGUGGCGAACGAUUGUUUCAUUUUUUUAAAAUUUUGUAUCGGGAUAAAAAAUUCUGAAUUCGAGUCUCGUCAAACUCUCAUUAUAAUGAUUUUCUUUCAAUUAAUUCAAGUUCAAAUAAGAUAUCGCCAUAUCGGUCAAAAUAUUUCAAACCUAAAUGCAAAAAAAAACAUUAAAUAUAAGAAAGUAAAAAAUAUCAUUUUCUAGCCAUUUUAGUUUUAAAAAAAGAAAAUGAAUUCUUUAGUAUGAUUUAAUAAUUAGCAUAUACAAUUUUUUUUAAUACAAUUUUGCAUAUCAAGUUAAAACAUACAAAUUUAUAUUAUAAUAUAUAUAUAUAUAUAUAUUAUUUUUUAUUAGUUUAAAUUUUUAGAAAUAAAUGAUCAUUCUGUAUAAUUCAAUAAUUGGUGUGUACCUUUUCGUUUUAUUUUUUUUAAAAAAAAAUAUUUGUGCAUUACAUCAAGUCGAAACAUAGGAAUUUAUAUUAUUUCUCUCUAAUCAAUGUCUUUUCAUUCAUCUCUGUCUCUUUCUACGCACCUGUUGUUAGCUAGUGUGGACAGUGUACUGUAGCGUGUAGACUAUAUGAGGAGAGAGGCAUGUGAGGACAACUCGGAAUGGUGUACGUAUCUAUCUCUCCGCAAUCAGCGGCGUACGUAAUUGCUUAUGCUAUCAUUAUGUUCAUUAUAUAUACAAAUUAUUGUAUAUAUAUAUAUAUAUAUAUAUAUAUAUAUAUAAUAUAAUAUAUAAUAUCAUCCUAUCUACUACCUAGUGCAUUUUAUAUAUUGUGUUUCAUAUUAAACUGGUUAACUGCGUUGGUUAUUUGCAUAACAUAAUAUUAAAAUCAAUAUUUCUACAUUUCCCUCCAUUUUAAAGGAUUUUGAGUUUAUUCUGCAUCUACUAUUAUAUAAUGAUACGUAUAUUUCGAUCUGUUAGUAUGUCCGCAUAUGCACAAACAAUUUAAUUAACUUGGUGCAUGCAAAAUAAGAUGUGCAUACUAUUUUUGUAUCUAUUCAGAAAAAAAAAGGUGUAAAUUUCUAUUGACAAUAUUUGUAUAGUAAGUCUUACUUUUUUUAAUAUUAAAAACUUAAAAGGUUACGUAAACGAGUGUAUAAUUUAUACCCUAUUUUUUUGGAUAUAUGUUAAGUCGCUUUAUUUUUUCAAAUAAUAUUUAAAUCCUGUUUAGCUGCUGCUUAAUUUUAUUUAUUUCUCGUAAUUAAGUGCAUUAAUUAACACUCUCUCAAGCUGUUUUAGUGAAUUCCAACCUAGCAAGCACUCGAAGAUCUUCUCCACAAAGCAGUUCACUUGUCUCCAUCUCCAUUAUCAUACAAGCAUUUUUUACUUUUUUUUUUUAGUCGAAAAGAGUGCAUUUGUCAAAGUCUUCAUCAUGCUCCAAUUAUUCUAAUUGCACUAUUCAGUUCAUAUUCCAUCUAUCUAAAAGUCAAAUUUAACUAACCUAUUAGGUUUCUAUCUAGCUAACCAAUCUAGUAAUGAUCUUAUAUUUCUUUUUUCUUUCCAAAAAAGUAAACAUUUAUUUUUAGUCAAUCUGCGUACCCCAAAGAUCGAUCUGAUAAUAAACAAGUUCAAAUAAAUAUAAAUGUUGAAGGCAAAGAUCGAACUCACGAUCUGAACAAAUAAAGAAAUUUAGAGUUAACUCAGAUACCUUGUAGUCUUAAAGAUCGAUAUUUUAGAUUACAAUCUAAAGUAGGACCAUCAUGCACUAUGAAAGGAGGCUUAUAGUAAAUGAAUAAUUAUAGAGCUAGUAGGUGCAUGCAUGUUCGACACCAUCCGUCCGUCCCCAUGCACAUUCCUGCAUUGCUACUCGGUGAAGCGCUAUCAUAAAAAUGUUUCAUCGCCCAAAUGCUUUGCUGUAAAUAACUAUAGCUGAAAGAGGUGAAAGUAAGAAGCGGAGCCAUUAUAUAUGCACUACGGUUGUAGCAUGGCUCAUAAUAGAGCUUCUCUACAUGCACGUGCUACAUCGCCCCCACGUCCCCUCAUCGCUGUGCAAUGAAGCGCUUUCGCAAAAAUGGUCCACCCAACAAAGCCAAAUCGCGUCCAUCUGUAUCGACUAAUUGUAUCAUAAAAGAUGAUGGCUUUGAUCGAGCUCAGCAGUUCUGUAUGGACCCGACUCAUAUAUAUAACUACAAAUAGUGAUGGAGACGUUGGGGAGAAAUUAUUGCAAACGCGCAAAUAGUGUACUAUUGCAGGUCAUAGACCACAAUUUUUUUUAAACCUUAUCUAAUGGUCUUUAAAAUUAGAAUAUAAUUUAUUGAAUGCGUUUUGUAGUAUUUUAAAUACUUUGUCAUCAUCCUAAGUUGACUGGUACGAUGUCUCCUUGUAGCUUUAUAAUUUAAUUUUUAUUUUACUAUAAAGACACUACAUAUAUUUUGUCAUCUUAUAGUUUACAAAAUGUAUUAUUUUAUUAUCUUGCCAUGUAUAAAUUAUAGUAUUUUUUAAUCCCACCUAACAACAGAUUAAUUCUUAACAAAGUAAAGCUUUUUAAAUGAUAUGGAUGUUUUCCUUUAAAAUACAGCUAUAUAUAGCAAAAAUUAUAAACUUUUUAUAGUAAUUUCUAAAAAAAAAUCAAAUAAUGUCACUCUCUACGACAUUUUUUUUUGGAAAUAAUGAAUGCUAAUUAAGCUAACAAAUUUUUAAUUUUUUUAGUGAGUUUUUUUUUAAAUAGGUGUCUUAAAAAUUACAAAUUAAAUAAUAAUAUGCCGUGCAUAGCGUGCAUGUGCGCGUAAAAAUUUCUCGUUACACGGGGUCCCACUCAUUAUGUGCUUGAUGGGAAUAGUAUCACCUACCAUUAAAUCACAAUCGAACGGUUCUGAUACGGACCGUACGAACCCCGUCCUGAUCGUAAUUAAUUAGAUCUUUAGACUAAAUAUAUAUGGAGAGAGAUUAUUAACACUAUCACCCAUCGUUGUCGAUUUUAUUUAAUUACCACAGCAGCUCAUAACGUCGCAAGCAAAAUCUCUUUUAUUUGGAUGAAAAUGUGGGUAUAAGUUGGAACUGAAAAAAUUAUGUUUAGAUGAAAAUGUGAGUAUAAGUUUGAAUAGUUGGUAGUUAUAGAUAAAAAAUAAUAAUUUUAAGCCUAUAAUUGAAUUUAAAAUUUUAAACUUAUAAUUUUAAAUUAAAAAUUUUAAUUUUAAAAUUUUAAAAUUUGAAAUUAAAAUUAAAAUUUUUAAUUUUUAAAAUUUAAAUUUUAAAUAUCAAAUUUUAAAUUUAAGAUCAAAUUUAAAUUUAAAAGAUAUAAAAUAUCAAAAUUUAAAUUUAAAAUCUAAAAAAUUAAAUUUAAAAUUUAAAAUUUAAAAAUAUCAAAUUUAUAAUUUAAAAUUAUACAUUUAAAUUUUAAAUAACUAAAUUAUAAAUUUUAAAAAUUUAAAUUUAAAUUAAAAAUCUCUCUCUCUCUCUCUCUACCCGGGAGGGGUGGAACAACUUGUUCCACCCCAAUCCGGUACAAGGGGGUUUGUACCGGGUUGGGGUGGAACAAGUGUUCCCACCCCCCAUUUUUGUGUUUGGGUACAAGAGGGGGGAUAACUCUCUUAUCCCCCUCUUGUAUCCAAUCCAAACGGGAUCUUUAGAUCAAAAAGAUUACAUCACACAUUUUGAAACCAUUUAAGCUUUUUUUUUUUUCAAAAGGUGCAUCAAUUAUAUAUGUUGNGUUUAUCUCUUAUCUUUUGUUCUUUUUAGUUCUUACUUAUUCUGAAUGCAUAACAUAUGAAAUGAAGAUCGGUUGAUUAUUUUACCUAUAUAAAAUGUAAAUUAUUUACAGUAAAAAAAUAUAUUUGUAUCUAUAUUUUUAUACAUAAAAGUAUAUUGUAUUUUAACUAGUACAGUUCAUAAAUGGUUUAAUACACUAUUAAUUCAAAGGCAGAGACAAAAUUAUAGGUCUUAAAAAUAACACUUUGUUUGCAACAAACAUAGUGAUGAUACCGAGUAAUAUUUAAGUAGCUAAUAAAAAAAACCUCCUCCUUUACGUUUUUAGGAACCAUAAAAGUAAUGGUUAAUUUCACAUAAAUUCCUACAAAUAUAGUAAAUUAUAAAUUUAUAACCCUAUAAUAAAGUUUAACUUUCAUAUAUUAUUCUACGAAAAUUUAAUAUUUUCAAAUAUGUCCCUACCAUUAGAAUUCGUUAGAAAAUUUUAAUUAACUAUAAAUUAAAUACUUAACUCUGAUUAAUUUAUAAAAUAACUUGAUAUUUUUGCCCCUUUUAUAUUUAUAUUGUUGUGAUUUUGAAAAGACAUAUUUGUAAUGGCAAAAUUGAUAUUUUAUUUAAAAUAUAAACAGUUCUAUAAUGAUAGCAAACCAGAUGAACAUAUUUAAAAAUAUUAAAAUUUUUACAGAAACAAUAUAGAAAAAUUGAACUUUACAGAGAUAUAUUUAUAAUUCACUUAUUUUUUUUUUUAGGAAUAUGAAUACAUUUAACACUAAAAGUAAAGUUAUAAAUUCAGAAAAAUAUAUAAAAAAUUAAAAUAUAUAACCUCAGGANUGUUUUUUUUUUUUUUUUUUUUUUUCCCCUGCUAAUGUAGUUUAUCUCUCAUCUUUUGUUCUUUUUAGUUCUUACUUAUUCUGAAUGCAUAACAUAUGAAAUGACGGUCGGUUGAUUGUUUUACCUAUAAAAAAUGUAAAUUAUUUACAGUAAAAAAAUAUAUUUGUAUCUAUAUUUUUAUACAUAUAAGUAUAUUGUAUUUUAACUAGUACAGUUCAUAAAUGGUUUAAUGCACUAUUAAUUCAAAGGCAUAGACAAAAUUAUAGGUCUUAAAAAUAACACUUUGUUUGCAACAAACAUAGUGAUGAUACAUAUUAAUAUUUAAGUAGCUAAAAAAAAAAACCUCCUCCUCUACAUUAUUAGGAACCAUAAAAGUAAUGGUUAAUUUCACAUAGAUUCCUACAAAUAUAAUGAAUUAUAAAUAUAUAUUCCUAUAAAGUUUAACUUUCAUAUAUUAUUCUACGAAAAUUUAAUAUUUUCAAAUAUAUCCCUGCAAUUAGAAUUCGUUAGAGAAUUUUAAUUAACUAUAAAUUUAAUACUUAACUCUGAUUAAUUUAUAAAAUAACUUGAUAUUUUUGCCCCUUUUAUAUUUAUACUGUUGUGAUUUUGAAAAGAUAUAUUUGUGAUGGCAAAAUUGGCAUUUUAUUUAAAAUAUAAACAGUUCUAUAAUGAUAGCAAACCAGAUGAACAUAUUUAAAAAUAUUAAAAUUUUUACAGAAAUAAUAUAUAAAAAUUAAAUAUUCCAGAGAUAUAUUUAUAAUUCACUUAUUUUUUUGCAGGAACAUGAAUACAUUUAACACUAAAAGUAAAAUUAUAAAUUCAGAAAAAUAUAUAAAAAAUUAAAAUAUAUAAACUCAGGAACCAUAAAAAUAAGGGUAUAAAUUUACAACACCAUCCCCUCUCUCUCUCUCUCUGCUUUCCUCUAUGAUGUGAUGAUACACUCACUCUGUUCCAUUUCUCUCUCUCUCUCUCUCUCUCUCUAUUUUAAUUCGUAUCCGACCAAAUCCAACCUCCCCAAAACGGUAUCCCCCUCCNCUCUCUCUCUUUCUCUGUCUCUCUAUUUUAAUUCGUAUCCGACCAAAUCCAACCUCCCCAAAACGGUAUCCCCCUCCCUUCCUCUUUGUCCCCACUCCUCUCCCUCUCCCUCUCCCUAUCCUUGACCUUCGCUAUUUAUAUUUACCCCAUCACACCUCCCUCACAACUAUUAGAAUUGCGUUUGAGUCCUCUGUUUUUUUUUCUUUUCUUUUCUUUUUUUGUUCGCUCGUCUUGCUCACUCUUUGGCUGAGCAUUUUGGGAUCCGUGGAUGAGGGCGUAGGGUUAGGGGUUCUGCGGCUGCGUCGAGGGUUGCAGGUGGCGGCGCGGCUGCUCCCGCGGCGGUGGAAGGCGGCGGCGGCGGCGGCGGAGGCGGAGGCGAGAUCGGGGCACGCGAGAGGAGUCGGAGGGGAGGCGCUAGCGCCGUUAAUGGAGGGCCCGGAUCCGGGGGGAGAAGGGGAAUGGGAGGGGAGGAGGGAGGGGUGGGGACGGUGGGUCAGGGGCCAGCUCUCUAGGGCCCCCUCCGUCUCCGUCUCCGGCGCCGGCGCCGGGGCGCGCCGCCACUCCGACCUCCGCCUCCUUCUCGGGGUCAUGUCGGCGCCGCUCGCCCCCAUCCACGUGUGCGCCGCGGAUCCUCUGCCGCAUCUCAGUGUAAAGGAUACCCCCAUUGUGAGCCCUCUCCGCUUAAUUCCCUUCUUUUCUACUUGAUUUAUUGUGUUUUUUGGCCCUUUUUUUUUUUAAUAUUAUAGUUCUCGUAGUUCCUCUGCUUGAUGAAAUGCUCGAACGAAUUAUUAAUUGUGAUCAUGCAUGCUACCUUCUGCGCAAGUGGCAAAAAGAGAGCUUGAUGAUUGGUACUCGAAACCUAAGUUCGAAUCCUAGUUGAUUUACAUUUCCAGCUAAGUUUAUUUCUAAAUGAAAUAAACGAAGCGGGUAGCAUGCUACCUUUCUCUCAAAAAAAAAAAAAAUUUGUGAUCUUGCAUGCAUGUGGACCCAUUUCUAAAUCCAGUAUCUUUGAGAGUAAGCUAUCUUUAAUAUAUAUAAAAAAAUCACCAUUUUUUCCUAUUUGGGGUCAAGAAUCGGUGGAAGGAGAACUAAUUGUUCCGCAAUUUGGUGACCUCUCUGGUUGAUUUCUUCUUCUCAUUAGGAAACCUCGUCGGCUCAUUACAUACUGCAGCAGUACAUAGCUGCAUCCGGCGGUUUUAAGCUUCUGAGCUCCGUUCGAAAUGCUUAUGCCAUGGGUAAACUGAAAAUGGUGGCCACCGAAUUUGAGACCGGCACCAAAGUCAUCAAGAACCGAAGUGCACCGAAGUCCGCUGAAUCUGGCGGAUUUGUUCUGUGGCAGAUGGCCCCUGAAAUGUGGUAUGUCGAGCUUGCUGUCGGGGGCACGAAGGUGCACGCCGGAUGCAACGGCAGGAUUGUAUGGCGGCAUACUCCAUGGCUCGGGGCCCAUGCAACCAAGGGCCCCGCCCGACCUCUUCGUCGGGCUCUUCAGGUAUAAAAAUCCUUAUGAGAGAAGUGGAGCUUCCGUAGUGCCCUUUUUUUCCUAAUUUGUAGUAAAGCUUCUCAACGGGAGAAAAUGGGGUAAAUUAUACUGUUGCUUACUGAACUAAACACAGCUCCGCUUAGGCCACUAAACUUCAAUUCUUUGGAAUUGGAUAACUAAACUACGCCUUUUAUGUCAAUAGUAGCUUUUCAAAUUACAUUUAAUUUUUCCUAACAGGAAGAUGAUGUUGUAACUAAUAUAACUACCACGUCAUCUUCCGCCACAUUUUCCCCCCAUCAGAGAAAUUAAGUUGACUUCUGUGACUCAGUUGUAACAAAUUGAAGCUCAGGAUCUAAGUGAAACUUUUCAAUAAGUUCAGUGACCAACGACAUAAAUCCCAAGGAGAAACAGAGGCCAAAAUUGUUAAACAAUAAGAAACUGUCGGAUCAGCUGAAGCUUACAUAGGAGUGCUGCUCAAAGCUAGCUGUUUGAAACCCUAAAAGGAUUGUUCAUUUAUAUCUUCCCCAACAGCUCUCUGAAGCUAGAAACAGAGAUUUCAAAUUGAAGCCUCUUGCUUUUGGCUCCAUGAGCUUAUCUCAGUUUCUCAUCGUGGCCAACAGCUUCGGAUUGUUUUCCUCCGUUUUGUUUGCCAAACAGUGGAAUUUUGCUCUUGGAGUCUUAAAGUCGGGUCCCAAAAGCAGAUGUCCAAUGUAACAUAUGAAGCUUUUGCUUCUAGCCCCAUCAAGAAGUUGUUGGUUGGAUAAUAAUACAAAGUUGCUAGCACUUCAUCCAGCACCUCUAGUCAAGCAGCGUUCAUUGUAAGCUCCAGCUCUCAGCCAAAAAGGUCCCGAAUCCCUUGAAAGCAUGAAUUACCUUACUAAAUAUGCUAACUUUGUUUGGUAUUUUUUGAAAAAAUAAAAAAAUAAAAUAGGGCCUUGAUCCAUUGACAACAGCAAGCAUGUUUGCGGACGCCCGCUGCAUUGGAGAGAAGAAGGUUGAUGGAGAGGAUUGCUUCAUCCUUAAGCUCUCUGCCGAUCCACGGACACUCAAGGCGCGGAGUGAAGGCCCAGCUGAGAUUAUAAGGCAUGUCCUUUUUGGCUACUUCAGUCAGAAAACCGGGCUUCUCAUCCAUUUAGAAGACUCCCAUCUAACCCGAAUGCAGUCUAAUACUGGUGGAGAUACUGUGUAUUGGGAAACGACCAUCAAUUCCUUCAUAGAGGACUACCGUCCGAUUGAGGGCAUGAUGAUUGCCCAUGCAGGUCGAUCAGCUGUGACGCUUUUCCGAUUUGGGGAAGUCGCGAUGAGCCACACGAAGACUAGGAUGGAGGAGGCAUGGGCCAUUGAGGAGGCAGCUUUUAAUGUGCCAGGACUCUCCUUGGAUUGCUUUAUUCCUCCUGCUGAUUUAAAUUGCGAGUCGGUUAGUGAAGAAGCCCUUGAGGUAACUCAAGAGGAGAGGGGAAUGGCCAGCGUGGUUAAUAGUCGUCAGGCUAAGGUUGCGGCAUUUGAGAAUUUGAAUGAUAGUAGUGGUGAUGAUAAUAUUGCGUGGAGAGUAGAAGUCUAGUGCUAGGAUCCGGGGUUGAAUUUGAGUGUUUAUAGUGUUAGUUCCUUCUUUAGUUGACUGAUUAACUAACCAUGAAUUGUAGGUUAGACUAAGCUGAUUCUGGAGGAUUUGGAGAUUUAAUAUUCGAGCUAUCCUUUGUAAAUAGGCAAGUAAUCCUUCGCAGGUCUCUCAUCUUGCAGGCCUUGGGCAAACCCUAAAUUACUCUUUAUGCAGAGUAAGCGUUGCUAAAUUGGGUUUGUUUUGUCGGUUAGCUUUUCUCAUGGAUGACUAGGGUUUGUUACCUUAUUUGUCUUACAGGGUCUUGCUUUCGGUACCCAAAGGAAAAGAUCUACAGUGGUGUCGAUGCUUCGUUUUUCUCUCUUGCCGGUGGCAGAAAAGAAAUUUACUGCCAUCAUUGAUUGUUUUCGAUGCUUUUUGAGAUAAAAUUUGUAUGUUUUGCUGCUUGUUUUUGUGUCAUAUUUGUUCCUAGGUGUAGGAAGAUAAACCAUAAUUGGUUUUGAUUUGUUAGUGUGGUUCUCAAGUUAAUCUUUGGCUUAAGAAUUGUAGACAAGAAGUUGAUGUAAGCCGCCAAACCUCUAUUAUUCUAGCAAGAUAUUGAAUGAUUGGAUAAUUUAAUCUUCUUUUGUUGUAUGUUAAAUUGACUUGUUGAGAACCCGUGUGGCUUUGUGGUAUGAUGCAGUUCUUUUUGACGAAGUGCUUGACAAUUCCAAUAACUAAUCUCUGCAGUAAAAUCAGAAGUUAGAGCUUCAUCUUUUGGGCCUACAAAUUAGAUUUCUGAUUCGUGUUCUUUCUUUUUUUUUAAAAAAAAGAACUUGUUUUAUGAGAUAUUUACAAUUUAUCUCUAAUAAUUGUCUAGUUGGUUUGUCAGAAACAGAUCUAGUGGUAAAUGGAUGGACCUUCUCAAGUAACUAUGGAUGCAGGGUGUCUGAAAUUCCCACCUGCAGCUCUAUUACUCAUGGAGUCUUCUAGACACCCAUGUGGUUCUUUUCUCAUUCAUUUUCCUGAACUCCAUUUAAUUCAGGUAGUGGGGGCAUAAUCUGAUAUUUCUUUUUUUUAUUUAUUUAUAUUCCUCAACCAUCCUUUGUCCAUAAUGGCUUUCACCUCUUGUUGCAUAUAGUUCAGGUCACCCUCUUUGAUGGCUCAUCACUCCUAGUGGGUCACUAUAUGUAUUACAUCAAGAGGUUCAAUCAAUUGGUUGAAAAGUGGGAAAUGCAUAAUCUCACCUUAUAGAUUGUUGGACGAGCACCAAGGGUAUCUUGAAAGAUUACUGAUGUGCUGACAAUUAAUAUGUAUAUUACAUGCAAAUUGAUUUAUUUGCAUGUCGCGAAGCAUUAGCCGUAAAUUAUUAACACUAAGAAGGGUCACAUAAGAGGUACGCAAAAUAUUACUCUUCAGUGAAUAAAAUAGGAGGCCGACAUUGAGAUCGAAAGAGUAAUCCAUGACCUCCUCGAUCAAUUUUUUUUUUCUUUUUUUUUUUUGAAUUUGAUGAUAUACCCUGUGCUCUGUAGAUGCAUUAAAAGAAGAUUUGUUGUUGCCUUGCAGCCACAAACGGCAACUUUAUUGUGAGUUGUUGUCCUUCGGGAAGUCAUUUAAUACCCAGAGGACAUUUUGUAUUAAAUGUAAGAAGAAUGUUUGCCCUUUUGGAAUUUCCAAAUAUCCUGCACCAGCGAGGAGUUUAUGUAUAAAAUCUAUUUCGAUUGUGUGUAAAAAAGUGGCCCUUACCAUCUUUUUUCCACGCAGUUUCCAUUCUUUUUUUACAAUUUCUUUAACACAUUUCUAAGUAAUUAGAAGCGUUAACAAAUGGAUUUUUCUAUUUUCAUAAUAAGCUUAUGAUGUGUUCCACCCAGAUGCAGAGCACCAUAUUCUCUGAUAAAAGAAUAAAUAUAUAUAAACAUUAAUUCUCAGGAAAAAUCACCUAUGAGAUAUACAUUUUCCUCUUCUUCUGGGUAGACUUUCAAUACAAGCAAAGAAAACAAUAAUACCUGGAGUUUUGGUAAGAAUUGCUAAAAUUAAGUUCCAGAAAUUAUUAGAUCAUAGGGGAAAAUAGCCAAUUGCAAACAAAAGCGCGAUUACAUUAAGCCAAAAGUGCAUUAGCAAAACUUGGCAACUGUAGCCUUCUAGCUUAAGCUCACAGGAGAAAUACGAGAAGUUAAAGAGCCAAAGCAUAUAGUGUGAAUUAAUUAAAAAGAACAACCCAUGAGAAUGGUUACAUCAUCCCCUAGGCAUGCUUGAAAGGCUUCUACCUCCUACCACAAAAAACCUAGCUUCAUAGAAACACCUAUCACUUCCCAAAAUGAGGAUUGAGCAACCCUGCGAUCUCGAGGAAUCCAACGCGCUCUCUCCCUCCAAAUAUAUUUUUCAGCUUCUCAUCACAAACAAUUAUCUUCUUGUCCUCAGGAUCCUGAUGAGAAGGAAGAUUCAAAUGUUAGAUUCCAAUUUUACAUCCUUCUAAACAACCAACACCCCAAGAAAACACGAUGCAAAGCAGAUACACAUCUGAGGCAGCCACAGUUUAUCAUAGCUACAUUGAUCAGGCAAAAGCCGAGCCAGAAAUAAAUUUCACCAACUUGUUUUCCUCCAUUCGUAUAACUAAUAAUAUGCAAUGCAUUGUCCGACUAUACGACCUUGUCGCUCCGAACUAUCACGUAAUCCGUACCAUCAUUGUAGUACCUUCAUAGGUCGAGAACUGACAAAUUCAUACAGGUAUCAUUGUAAUAGGGCCACUACCGUCCCGUAAGGAACAGUCUGAACCAGAUAAGCCAAAGAAAACCAAACUGGCUGUGUCCUCUCUCUGUUUUCUGUACGAGAGAGACGAAGAGGGACUAUAGUUUAGUAAGCAUCCAAGUUUGCCUCAAAGACCCUAAACACAAAAUCUUCAAAAAUUAAAACUUCAUUCUCAAGCCAAACCAACAUUCUCGUAAUCACGACAAAUUAGAUCGUCACAAAAUAACAUCCACUAGAACGAUGAGUCGGCAUUAAUGACUUCAUUUUUCAACUCCUCGGAGACCACGAUUGUCGCUCAUUUUGCAAUUCGCGCAGAUUAAAUACAAAUUUUACUUGGCAAUACAAGUGCUUAUAAGAAUCAAGAACUAUAAUCGGUGCCUACUACAUAAUACUUACCUUACAGAUAACUUAAUUCCCAGAAAACAGCAAGAAAAUGUGUAAACAUAAACUUAUAACUGUGGACAAGCUUUCAAUUGCUACAAGUGUUUAUACUACACAGUGGAUUUUUUUACACCUCGAGAUGAUAUUUCCCCUCUAUUUCACCUAAAUAUAAACAACAUUGCCAAGGAAAUGUCUCUUCGACACCAUAUAUAGCAUAUCUAUACAUCACAACUAGAUCAGUGAGCAGCGUAGGAAGAUAACAGGGAAAUGAGAAGGAAAAAUGCACAUGCACAUCAUCAGAUUACGGAAAUCGAAAAACCUACCUGGAGAUUGUUUUGUUUGAUGUAGGCCCAAAUGAGCUUCAGCGCUUGGGUUCGGGGGAUCUCGGGGACGCCGACGAGGGCCUGCAUCGCCGGAGACACGGGCCGGGGCUUCGUGAUGCCCCUCGGCGGCCUCUUCCCCUCCGCCGCGGGAGGCGGCUUGGAGGCGGCGGAGGCUCGCAGCGCCGCCGUGGGCGCCGCCCAUCGCCGGAGGGGGAAACCGGUGGAGUGCGAUGGGCGAGGAGGCUCGCAGGUGAGGAAGGUGGGGAAGAAGCGGAUGGAGAUCGUCGCCGCCAUGGACGCUAGGGUUUGGUAGGGGCGAAGGAGGAGAAGGGUUUUUAGGGGCUCGAGGGUUUUGGGACGGGGAAGGAGGAGGAGGAGGAGGAGGAGGAUCGUACAACCGUACUUGUAAGGGUGGAUUGGGAGGAGCGAGAAAUGGUAAUACCGGAUUGGGAAGGGCAAAUUCGGUAAUUCAAAAUUUGUGUAGAUUUAUUUAUUUAUUUAUUAAUUUAAGACUCGGACGUAAUUAUUCGCUAAAUAUAUAGUUUUUCGUUUUUUGGCAUAUUGUUAGUUAAAUUCAAAUCUGUAAAUAGUGUGUCUAAGUUCCUGAUUUGUUCUUAUUUACACUAUAAUCAUUCAAUUCAAAUGGUUGGUUUACUAUAUUUUAUGAUGCAAAAAAGAGAAAAAACAUAGACUCUUAAAUUACAUGCCCUCCGAGAUAAAAAUGGGAAAAGAUGGAAGGGUGCAGAGAAAUUAAAAAGUAAAUUCCAAACUUUUCGGAAUUAUACUCUUUCACUAUUUAAAAAUUUUAAAGGUUUGAAAUCAUAGCAUAGCAAUGUUGGGGGGAAAGAAGAGCCAAAAUACAUACAAAGCAACCAAACCACAGCAAUUUUUUUUUUAAUUAUCCACGCUUUCCUACUGUUAUAAGAAAUCCACAUUCUAUAAAGAUCUUAUUUUCCAACAAAAUUAGGGGAAAAAUAACCCCAAACAACAGGGGAAAAAAAAAAUUAAGAAAAAUAAUAAUAAAACCCUCAACAAGUCUCAUUAUGUACAAGCUCUCCUCAAAACUUUAUUUCACACAAUCUGGUAAUCUCUAUCUACUCAACGAAUGGAAACUUUUAUUCACAAAAGCAGGAAUAAGCCAGUUUAUAUGGAUGGUUUAUAUAUCAGUAUUGCGACCAUGCAGUAUCCAUUCGGAGAUUCGGAUGAAGCGGUUCCUCAGAAUCGUCAGAAUUAAAGGAGAAGAUGUCAACAGGCGCACUCGUACAGUUAAAAUUGGCUCCAUUAAGUUGGAAUCGAGUUCCUUGGCGAUGAUGAUCGAGAUAGAUCACUAUGACAGUGAUGUCGUCGUGAAAAUGCCUUCUUACACCCUUUUCUAUCUUCUUUAUAUCGUCGUAUCUUAACUCCCUUUUCUUUGCAGCCUCAUUUACGGCUGCUCGUACUAAUCGCUUGGCUAUUCCCUGCAAAAAUAUUUUCCCCAAUUAUGCAAAAUGUAUUAGCUUUUUGAUGAAAAGAAGUGUGAAGAAUUAUCAGACUAAGUGACUCCUGGGCAUGGUCUCUAGAAUAGCUUCUCUGUUCCAAGAAGUAGCAUCUGAGUAGUUUGCAAAUAAAAAAUUCUGGAGUUUUCUGCAGCACAAAACCAAAAUGAGCUCUGAACCCAAAGCAGGAGCUGCAGUUUGAAGCUUUUGCUUUUCAUGGAGGGAAACUGCAAAUUUCAAACAGCUUCACUGGACAGAACUUCGGUAGAAGCUCUAGCCAGUAAGAACUUCAGUAGAAGCUCUAGCCAGUAAAUUCACAUUAAAAAGGGGUGGGCGAAGGAAGCUUACCGCUCUGGGGUUAUUGACAACAAUCUCGACAGCAGCUUCAUCACUUAGCUGCUCCCACAAUCCAUCAGAUGCAAAUAUCAAGAACAGGUCAUUUGGCUUAAGCUUGCGGACCAGAAUGGACGGCUCUGCAGUGAUAACUGGCCGCUUCAAUGGCACAGGUGAGCCAAACUGCCGGAAUAAAGGGUCACUACUUAACUCGGGUUUCUUCAGGUAGAUGUCCCCUAUGGAUCUUGAAACCUAACAACGGCAAAUAAAAGAAAUAAAACACAACUAGUCAUACUCACUUUGGUGCUAAAUUAGUCAGAUUACUUAUAGCAGCUUCAUUCGAGCUUCACUGAAAAUUACAUGGCUGGGCUGUUCUCAUGGAUUCAAAGUGGUAAUUGACAAAAAGCAAAUGACUGACUAAAUAAAUCACGACAUUACGAUAUUAAAGACUAGCGAGGACAAUUUCCUUAUGAUAGAUCAUCAAUGACAGGUGUGAAAUUGCAGCACAAGAACCUCAAAAUACAGUAAGAAUAUGAUGCAGGGACGAGGAAAAUUACAAGGAAAUUCUCAAAGUAAUGAACCAUGUUUUGAUGCAAGAGCUCCAUCUGCAAUCACAUAUAAUACUUAAAACAUGCAAGUUUGGUCUGGAUAUAUGUCCGUCGACAUGAAUAACUAAAAUUUCGACCUGUCCAAUCAGUAGGGCGCAUCUUACAACAAUGAAAAUGAUCGGAGUGAGCAAAUUGCAAAUAUAUUAAGUUACUUAACUCAUAAAACAAGCAAAUUAACAUCUAGAAGAUUCUAGCCAACUCAGUCAGAAAACAUUUACAGAAGAAAAACAACUAAAUUUUGCUAGUUCAAUAAUGUUCUGUUAUCAACUGAUGAACACAUCUUAAUUGAUUCAUCUUAAUUGAACUUAACUACGAUAAAUAAAUAUCGCACUGCUUGUACCAGUUAAUUCCCCCCCAAAAAGAAAAUUGUACUAUUGCACUAAAGAACAGAAAUUAUAGUAAUACCUUGGUUUAUUAACUAGAAGUAGUAAAGGAUUAAAGAAGGUUGCUGCUAUACCUGAAUGAUCCCUUUGAUUCUCCAUACUCCUCGGGUGUACACCACAAUAUGAGAGUCAUCGGGAUGGAGCGCGACCACCUCUUUCCGGACCUCCUCGACGGCGACAUUGUGGUCCUUCGACAGCCGCUCGGCCACUACCGCCCUACCGUCGGCUCCACGACGACCGAGCACUGCCCUAGAGUCCCCCAAAUUGGCGACGUAGAGCAUGCCGUCCGCGAUUGCACCAAUGAGGCAGCAUGACCCCACCGACGCAAUCUGCGGCCGCGCCGCCCACGACCGCUUCACUAGAUGUAGGAACUCCUCUUCUGUUGCAGCAAACGCCUUCUUUAUUACCUCUGCUGAUAAUCCUCCUUGCUCUGACGCAAACCCUGAUUCAUGAAGAAGCAGGAAAAGAAAACAUAUUAGAUCACUAACACUCUUGAGUGGUGCCCAAUCAAGUUUUAAGUUGAGUUUAUUUGCUAUUCUAGGAGACUCGGUUGAGUUCCAUCGUCUAAUUGAGAAGCCCCAUUUACGACAGUUCCAACCUUGAAUCACUGGAAAUCAUACAAAUUCCGUUCCAAAAAACGAAAAAAAUAAUAUUCAAAACGCUUGAGAUCUUCAAAUCACAUCAAAUUCGACCUCAAAUCAUCGAAUUUGCUAACCAAAACCAAAAUCCAAAAAUCCACCCAGAUUAUUCUGAAACAAACCAAUCAAAACACGAAAUGGAUCAAAAUCCCAUCAAAUUCACCAACUCGGGAGUGACCAGAGAGAUUGGAGGGGUUCGAGGGGAGCUUACGUUGGAGAUGGGGGAAGAGGCGGGAUCGGACGAAGCGAGAGGCCUCGGGGCCUCCAUGGCCGUCGUAUAUCCCGACGAAGGUGGCGGAGGGCGAGGUGAGGACCUGUCCCUGGUCCUCGAGCGCGUUGUUCGCUUGGACCACGGCGAUCGAGAACUCGCCCAUGGCGUGGGGCUUCAGGUCGAGGUCCCACAGGAGCCCGUCCCCGACCCCGAACCUCCCGAAGCACCACUCCAAUGGCCGAAUCCAUGAUCGCACCAUCAUCGCCACACCUCUCUCUCUCUCUCUCUCUCUCUCUCUCUCUCUCGUCUUCGUCUUCGUCUUCGUCGUCUUCGAUUGUUUUCUAUAAGCGGGAAUAGGGAAAGGUGAAAGGGAGGUGGGGAGUGGAAAUAUAUAACGGUCGGAUGCAGAAGAAGUAUAUCUCACCACCGUCGGAUUCUUCUUGUACGAUUGAGAUUUGAUGAAAAUUAAAUGCCGCGCAUAAUCACCAGUGAUGAUAGAGAGAGCAAUACGUCUAUAAAAUUAAUAUAAAUUUAACCAAUCGUUCUCGGAAGCUUCAUAUCUGGUAUUUGAAAUUUUAGUUUGAAAUUUAAUUACUUAUAGUUUUGAUUAAAUAUUUUUUUUAAAAANAAUUCUAGAAUUAAAAAAAAAAUAAAAUUUAAAAAUUAUUAAUAUUAUUUUUACUAUAAUAUUCCUAUAAAUUUAUUUAAAAAAAAAUAAAUUUUUAGAGGUAAUGGUAUAAAAUUUGCACUCAAUAGAGAAUAUGGGGGGUCAAAAUGAUUAAUUGUGUUGAAAAAGGUUAGCGUGAAGAAACGCGUUUGCGGGAGACAGACGACUUCAGAGUUCAGUCUAAGGUGCUUUUUUCUCUCUCUUUUUUUUUAAAAAAAAAUUUAUCUUUUUUUAAAAUUUUAAUAUUUGUGAUAAUUUGAUAAUAAAAAAAUGAAGAAACUAAGCGAUUUAAUUAAUGCAGCUACAUUCUAUGGGAUGCCCACGUGCCACGCGUCAAUGCUUUAAACUGUUACGAAGUGUGUGAGAAAUAGCCAGGAUAGAUAUUUUACUAGUUUGUUUAUAAAUUUAUACUAUCACAGUUUUCUUAUAUGUAUAUAUUUAUGAAAUAUAUUAUAUAAUAUCAUACCUCGCUAGUAUUUAAAGUUGUUAGUUGUAUAUUCAAAACCAGUAUCUAAACUUUACACUAAACUAUCCAAAAAUAUAAACACCUCUUUUGAUUAAUUUAAUAUUAAAAAUAUUAAUAAGAUCAGUAUAAAAGUAUUUAUAUGAUAUAUACAUAGCAUUGCUCUUAGUUAAAUUAUUUACUUCACGACAACAAAAACUACUAAGCUAAUUUAAUGUCUAUAGUGACCAUUAGAGUGUAGAAUAAACAUUUUGUUUAAGUUUAAAAUGCAAGUUCAAAUGAUACUCUCUCCUAGGCGGAGGUGACGUGUUUUCUCAUUUUUCCCACAUCAUAAAAGUAGUUAGUUUGUUCACAUCUUCAAAGGAGUUUGUUUGAGAAAUUUGGAGAUAAUAUGUGUACCAUACGAAUAGGAAAAGAACAACACGAACACGUUAGGGUCAACGCGUAGAAAUAGAACGAGUUUAUCUACAGCUACGAGUUACAUAGGAUAUAGACAUAUAGUAUGGUUUUAUUUGGUACUAUCCAGUUAAGAAAAUAGAUAAAUAUUAGAAAAAAAUUUGACUAAUAUUAAGUCGAGCAAGUUUUCUAUGCAGAAUUAGAUGAACAUGUGUGAAAUGGGAUUACCACUAAAACUCGAUAUAUAUGCCGCUUCUUCAGUACGCGCGAAGUAGAUAAUCCAUGGACAACUUGAACUAAAUUAAGUUAAACUUUUUGCAUUUUAAAAUAUCCAAUGAACAAAAUAUAGACACUUGUUGAAAACUUAACUUUCCCAACAUAAGCAUAUAUAUGUUCCCUACAAAUAGCUUUAACAAUGGAGUUAGCGUAAGAUACAGUAUUUUUUUCAGUACGAGGCCACAGUGUAGUAGUGCUAAGAAAAGUCUAAUCUAACAAAACUAAAUUUAAAGCAAUAAAGCAUUUUCAGUCAAAUUGCGGUUAACAUGGUCAACGCCUCGCCAUUUACGGCACGGCAAGCUAGUUGGGUAUUUGGAAUUCUCACGCCUCUCUCUCUCUCUCUCUCUCUCUCUCUCUCUCUAUAUAUAUAUAUAUAUAUAUAUAUAUGAAUCAGAGAGUUCUAGAAACUUCCAUUGUUGUUAAGGUGGAGCUUCUUUUGGUGCAAAAGCACUUUCAGGUGGACCAGCGCGCUCCAUGAAUGUCAACAGCUGCUACCAACCGCGUGAACAUAGUAAUGAGCGGAAUAGGUUUUCUGUUUUUCUCUUUCCCACUUGAAAAAAUGGCUAAUUCGGAUAAGAAACCAAAAAAACAAAUGAACUAAAAGUACACCUCAGAUGCCAUUUUGACAUAACAUUUCUUUUAAAAACAUAGAAUAAUAAUUCUUUAAACUUUCUCUCAAUCAUCUGACAAUAUUUGUGUUCAUGACCAAUAUAACUUGAAAGAAAUUUUUAUCAAACUAAACAUCAGUAAAAUUAUCACUGUAAUAGGGAUCAUAAAACAAUUAUGAGAUCAUAUACAU
RNAcentral lists this long non-coding RNA (70813 nucleotides) under Ananas comosus (pineapple). Its description in RNAcentral is "long non-coding RNA (ACOM_LNC014368)". The record is from RNAcentral. Lineage: Eukaryota; Viridiplantae; Streptophyta; Magnoliopsida; Poales; Bromeliaceae.